CUGCAGUGAAAAGGGUUGUGCCUCCCUAGGCCACUUCCGGCGCGAGGCCCAGAUACGUUUAAACCUUUCUGCCUCGGGGCGGGUUUUGAGAAGGAACCGUUUCCGGCGCAGGAGGAGCUUGGCUGACUGGAAAGCGCGGGGCAGGUGUUUGCCAUGGCGGCUGCCGUUAUCGUCGCGAGACACCUGAGAGCCUCUUUGUUAGAGACGCGAGUACUCUGCGGGGCUGCAGGAACGGCAGUUGGCUGGCGGCGCCAAGGUCUUUCGGGGCCAGGAGGCGGCGGAAGCGAGGUGCGGCGCGCGCGGACGUGCAUCCCUUCUUACCCUCCCCCUGCUUCCUUUUAGCAUGGCUUGAGUUUGUUCCGGGGCGGAGGGCGACAAACCCGGCCCUGCUAGUGGACGUGUGGCAGUGGAUGCUUUUUUGUGUGGGAAUCUCCCUUUCCCUCCUCCCAGUCCCUUCUUUGCCUCUCUUUUUCCUCUCACAUUUACUUCUGAGAGGAACUGCCUGGCCACGUGUGUGCGCGUUUACUCGGAAGCCGGUCCCGCAGAGUUAUAUGGAGUACAGUGGUACCUCAGGUUAAGUACUUAAUUCGUUCUUAACCUGAAACUGUUCUUAACCUGAAGCACCACUUUAGCUAAUGGGGCCUCCUGCUGCCGCUGUGCUACCGGAGCACGAUUUCUGUUCUCAUCCUGAAGCAAAGUUCUUAACCUGAAGCACUAUUUCUGGGUUAGCGGAGUGUGUAACCUGAAGCAUAUGUAACCUGAAGCGUAUGUACUCUGAGGUACCACUGUAAUUAAUUACCCCCAGGUAAAAUGCACAGGAGUUGUAGCCUUAGGUUUCCACAUUUGCAUGUAGGUAAGCUCGUCAAAAAGGGACGCGGGUGGCGCUGUGGGUUAAACCACAGAGCCUAGGACUUGCCGAUCAGAAGGUCGGCAGUUCGAAUUCCCGCGACGGAGUGAGCUCCCGUUGCUCGGUCCCUGCUCCUGCCAACCUAGCAGUUUGAAAGCACGUCAAAGUGCAAGUAGAUAAAUAGGCGGGAAGGUAAACAGCGUUUCCGUGCGCUGCUUUGGUUCGCCAGAAGCAGCUUAGUCAUGCUGGCCACAUGACCCGGAAGCUGUACGCCGGCUCCCUCGGCCAAUAAGGCGAGAUGAGCGCCACAACCCCAGAGUCGGUCACGACUGGACCUAAUAGUCAGGGGUACAUUUACCAUUUAAGCUCGUCGAACGUAGCGGGACUGGUUUCCAAGACGGGAAGAUCCGAGUCUGUGCAUGUUUACUUGGGAGUAAGCCCCGGUUAUUGCCCAAUGUGGCUUACUCCCAGGUCAGAAUGUACAUGGCUGCAGUCUUGGUAGGUAGUGUAAAGUAGGGAUGAGCAGAUUUCAAGCUCGUAGAAUCUACUGAAUAGAUUUCUACUAGAAUGCUGCGAUCCACCAACUGGAGCGGUGGAUCUGUGAGACAUAUACUAAUUUGGGCGUUUAGAUUACUCACAUGUAAAUUCUGUUUUGUUGUUCAGGGAACCUUCAUGAAAAAAGAGUGCUCCGAGCUUCAGACCUCUGUCAAAUAUGUGGAGGGCUGUAAACAAGAUCAAAGUGGUCAGGGCUUGGCAGUGCCCCCCCCCCCGCCAUCAGCCUGAUUGUUUACACACGCAUAAUUUGACUGCUUAAAUAGGUCUUGUGAAUUAAAUAAUUCUGAGCCCAGGAAUUUGUUUCGAGUACCAGAACAAAAUAGAGCUCACACUUUUUUUGGCCCUUGGUUUUUAGUAUUCAUGAUGAAACCGAAUUAGUACUCACGAUGAAGCCAAAUUUUUGGAAUGCAAGCUCCUUCAUUUGGGUAUAUUUUCUUAUACCUUUUUUAUUAAAAGCAGACAACACCAUGGGCAGGAUAUACAUUUUUAUAUAAACAGACAAAAUAAAUAAAAGACUGCAGUCUUCAAGAAUCACCACCACUGAAGUAGGCAUAGCGCGCAAACUAAUCUGAAUAAGUGUGCAUAGAUUCAGCUUAUAAAACACAUUGAGUAUUUGUUUCUAGCUCUUUUUAUCAGCUGAUAUGCAAUAUUUAGGUUUUAAUUAGAAAAGAAAAUUUUACAAAGAAAAUGUAAAAACUAAACUUUUCUGUUUAGUUCCUCUCAGGAAACAGCACUUUCUAACAAUUCUCAGUGGCUCAGUUUGCACAAUCCAGACAUGCAUUUCAUUGGGCAAAUACAUAUUUUUAACCUAGCUUUUAAUGGAGUUGUACACAAGACUGAAGGUGGCGCUUGGUCCUGGAAGUCCUUUCCAAGUCACAGCUUGGAAUCUUAGGGUAUUCAAACAGUUGCAGCCAUCCUCAGAUGUGUGCUCAAACAAGCAUAGCAUAUGAACCAGGCUAUAUUUCUGAUUGUGACAGCUGGGAAAUAUGGCUCUGGUCUCGCAGACUGCUGCUAAAUAUACAAUCUGGUUUGUUGCUUUGUACUGAAAAACAGUUGGACCCACUUAAAUCUGUAGAAAAGUAAUUUUGUGGAGCAGCCCCAAAUCUUCUCCAAACAGCUUCUUAAUGUGUUAGGGAAAAAAUGUAACUUGGGAAGCUUUUCUUUCCAGAGCUACAAACUAGCUAUAUUUAAUCUCCAGAAGUCUAAGAAUGAGGUGAAUAUUUCUUGGACAAAUACAUUAACGAAGUACAUAAAAUAUGAGGCCCCGUCUUUAGGUUAAGAAGUGACACACAAGAAAAGAAAGGGGGAGAGGUUAGAGGUAUGAGAUCAGUUAGAGAGUAAUAGAUUGGUUAGAGUAGCAUGUAUUGGCAUACUUUUCUUUGCAUAUAUCUGGUUUGUGUCAGCUACAGAUAUGUAUAAAAACAUACCUUUGCAAAACUUCAUUUUAUGCAUGUGUUUAUUCUUGCUGUGUUACUUGCAAAUAACCCCACAAAGUGUACUUCUUUUUUAAUGGCAAACUGGGGGCUGGCAGAGGAUGGAGGAAGAACUGCAUUUCUAUACUAAAUGUGCAGCAGGAGGAGGAGGCUCUGUCUUGUAGCAGCCCACUUGAUUUCUAUGGUGUGAGCUGAGAAAGGAUGUUUAAAUUGUUAGUUAAUUGUUAGCACUCCAUCUACCCUCUGCUGGCCCACUCAUAUGCAAUUCCUCAUCAUAUUUGGCUAUCUGUUAGUGCCUAAUAUUUAUACUUGCCUUUAUUUCUAAUUCAAAACUGGUGAUUUGUUUGUAACAUGACACACACAAGUGGUAUGGUAUCUUGGAUAAGAAUAGUUUGGCUUCAGAUUUAGCUGACAAAUUAUUCUAGGUCAAUACUUCACUUAGGUUGCUCCUGCUGUUUGUUUUCUGUCGGCACACCUAAAACAUCAGACUGCUAUUUUUAAAGCAGUGCUAACAAGGACUAGGAGUGGUUCUCAUGUCUCUUACUGGGUUGGGUUGUAUCUAUGUCUAGUGUUUUCAGCAUCUAGGUGAUAUUUUUGGUUUCAUGCUUCAGCAAAUGUUCAGAUUGUCCAUUGUAUAUUGUUCUUCCGAGUCAGAAUGUGUUUGUAUUCUCAUUACCUUCAGUUCUCACCUUAUUAACUUUAUUUGCUGUUGGCUUGUGUAUACAUAUAAAAUGUACACACACUAAUAUGUUUAUUGACCACCAUGUGCCAAAUAAUGGUACAAAAUCUUUUGUCAGAUAAACCAAGUAGUUUCUAAGGUAGAAGGAAUAGUUUCUGUUGUUGCUGAUAUGUGCUAGCAUAGUUAUUCUUUUGGUUUUUAAAAUUCUGUUUACCCAAAUGUUGAUGACAGUGUUCGAGAGAGGUUGUGUACUUGUAAAGCAGAAAGGUGCUAAUAUAUGUUUCCACUUGGCUUGUCACUUAAAGCUUGUUACUCAGUUUGUUUGCACUUUUUUAUACAGAAUGCUGAGUUUCAUUCAUUCUAUCAAUAUUAUAUUAAGUAAUAUAUGAACAUUCAAAGUUUGUCUUCGUAUUUACUCCAGCCAUGUAGACUUAGAACAGGGUUGGCGAACCUUUGGCCCUCCAAAUGUUACAUAUCUUUUACCCAUGCUGGUUGGGGAUGAUUGGAAUUGGAGUGUAACAACAUCUGGAGGGCCUAAGGUUAGCUAUCCCUGGCUUAAAGGGAAAAACUAUGUUGUUCUCAUAAAUCUUCUUUUCUUUUCUUGGUUAUGGACCGGAUUCUAGGACUCAGUUGAGUUGGCAUCCUAACCUCAGAGACAUUUACUUGUCUUUGUGCAUUUGCACCACUAGGAUAGCUUUCUUAGAGGUGUGAUAACUUUCCUGUUUUCUUGUGGCUUUAUUAGCUGCUAGGAUGAUGCAAAAUGGGAUGGUUCAGGACAAUGUCUUUUGUAUGCCAUUUUUUUUUUGUACCAUGAGUGUCAUGAAUGAUCGACGUGAAAGUAAGGAAAAUAUGAAUAUCUGGAUGUCACCUUUUCAUUCACUGUUAAGAAAACAUAAGAACAGCCUUGUAGGAUCAGGCCACUUGCUCAUGUAGCCUAGCAUCCUGUUUUUACAAUGGCCAUGCAGAUGCCUGUGAGAAACUCAGAAGAUCUCUUUCCCCUCCUGCAAUUUCCAACAACUGGUAUUCAGAAACAGUGGAGACAGAGCAUAGCCAACAUACCUAUUAGUCAUUGAUAAUCCUUAUCCUUAUUCUCCAUGCAGUUGUCUAAUCAGCAUUGAGAGGGGUUUUUUUUACAAUCAAGCGGUGUAUAAAUUUUAUGAAACAAGCAAGCAAACAAUCCUCUUAAAGCUAAGUUGGUGGCCAUCACUGUCUCUUGUGGGAUCAAAUUCCAUAUUUUAACCCUGUGCUGCAUGAGGAAGUACUUUAUGUGUCCUGUAUCUUCAAACAUUCAGCUUUACUAGAUAUCAACAAGUUCAACAAGUUCAUGCUAAUUAAAAAUGUUCUAAAUUGAAACUCUACACCUGGCAACAGAAUUCUGAGGGUAGAUUUACAUAAUUAGCUUUUCUACCAUAAGCUGCCCUUUGGCUGCAACUUUAUAGCAGCUCCUUGUUUAUCUGGCCUUGUGGUAAUGCUCAGUUUGAUCAUAUCUCAGCUUAAUUGAGCCAAGUGAUGAACAUUCCUUUUGGUGUGCAUACAGGCAGGCCAUUUUGCUCCUCCCAUUGUGGCAAGAACACAUAAAUCAGGAAGUCUUCACUUAACUAUAGUUUUGCCCUGUUCUGAUCUUUUGAAGUAGCCUACAAGGCUGGGCAGGUGAGCAGUUGCAGAACCUCAGAGAGCUCUGCCUGUGACAGAAGUGGACUGAGACCUUCUGAGCUUUUUCCUUCAGUCCUCUUCUAGGGUCCAUUCCCUUCAUGAGAACUGCAGUCCUCAGAGCAGGAUUAGGGAAUAUUUGGCCCUUCAGGAUGUCCAAGGGUUCUCCACCACUGCCUUAGAGGAACUAUGGGUCAUACGUAGUGCUGCAGCUCAGCUGGUGCAACAAACUUCAGUGUGUGCAAUGCACCUUUCUUUUGUCCCUUCCAGCCUCCUACAUGUCCCCAAAACCAGCUCUGGGAGGUUGGGGACCCUCCAGAGCACAUUUAGGAGGCACUAGGCAGGAGGGAGAAGAGGAAACAGAAGUCCCAUUAUAGCAGUUGAGCUUUCUGGCACCUAACUAUAUAGAUUUAACCCAAAGUGCCUGCCAAUGGGUGCUUCUUCACUCUCUGUCCCGUUGGACCUGCGUAGUGGGUUGGGAGGUCUUUGGUUCUUCAGUCCCAGGGAAGAAGGUACCUAUGAGGAUUCCAUUUCUAUCUCCAUCAGGCCUAGCUCUGUUAGUUCUGGUUCAUGUUGCUCCUGCCCCUCCAGUUCUGGAUUUAGUGAUCCCCUGAACACCAACAUCAGGCUCAGAGUUUGACUACUUAGCUGGUGAAUCUGCAGCCUCCAACUCUGUGUCUUGAUUGCCACUAGGCUCUGAGGUCAUGACAGGUUUCCUGUUUUGCCCAUACCAGAGAACUAUGGUUAAAAGCUUCGGAACAUGCCUGGAUAGGAAACCAUGAUUGGAAGUUGGUUUGAUAUUCUGGCUUGCUCCCAAGCUGGUUCAAACAAAAUAAGUUCUGCUGACACAGAAGUGAAGGGACUGCAUGUGCAGCUGAAAGGCUCAUUCAUAUAUCAGCCUGUGCUACUUCCUUGAUAAGAAGUUUCAGUAGAAUCAGUCCCAAUCAAGUAAAUGUCCUUGGCUGAGGGGUAGCCAAUAUGGUGCCUUGCAGAUAUUAUGGGCAACAAUUCCCAUCGGCCCCAGCUAGAGUGAUCAGUGGUCAGGGAUGAUAAGAGUUAAUAGUUCACAACAUCUAGAAGGCACCUUGGUGGUUAUCCCAGCUUAUUACAGCAGUUGAUAGGUGACGUGCUAGUUAACAGCACCAAUCACUCAUUUGGUGUGAGAGUGAAUUACUCAAUCCCAGUCUUUUCUCCACAUAGCAGGUUUUAAAAAAAUAGCAUCGGUAUUUUUUUUACUAUAUAUAGGUGGAUCAUUGAAUGUAGGCUAUUGCUGCCUAUUGUUGUCUCUAGAUUGGGAAUAAAAUGAUCUAAAACAAAAGUAUGCUUAUUUAUUGUUUUGUUGAAUGAGCUGGUGCACCAAAUGUGUAACUUAAAGAAAAAUUAAUAUUUUUUUAUUUAGGUUCCUUCCAGGAAGGCGGAAUCCUUUGCAUCCAUGUUGAGGCGCUCUCCUUUAAUUCAGAUGGGACCUUGCAAAGACAAAAUUGCCAUUGGAGAAAUUUUCCACAUCACAGAAGAUGAUCUGUAUAUAGAUUUUGGUGGCAAAUUUCAUUGUGUAUGCAAGCGACCAGAAGUAGAUGGCGAGUAAGUAAAACAUUCAUGAUGGAAGUUUAGGGAAGCUUUUAAUGUUUAACAGACCAUUGUAUUUUAAUAUUUUGUUGGAAGCUGCCCAGAGUGCCUGGGGAAACCCAGCCAGAUGGGUGGGGUAUAAAAAAUAAAUUAUAUUAUUAUUAGUAUUAGUAUUAUUAUUAUUACUAUUACUAUUACUAUUAUUAUUAUUAUCAUUAUUAUUAUAUAAUAUAAUAUGUGUGAUAAAAGUUGAAUAUUCAUGUAUUUCAGACAAGUUCACCCUCAGAUAUUGAAACUUCACAAUCACAUAAUUGCCUUAAAAGUCUGUUUUUUCCUUUUCUUUCCAGCUGCUAAAGGGAAGUGACCAUAAAAUAUACUUUGCAUUUAAUGUCAGUAUAGGAACCUGUUCACCCCUCUGCCUCUUAAUGAGGCAGUACAGGUGUAUAAUUUUUCUCCUGCUUGUCCUGGCUCCAGAAGAAGGGAAGGAGCUAAAACAGGCAGCUAUGGCUAAAUAUUGCUUUUAGUACUUUUUAAAUCUGCUCAUAGUGUUGCUGGCAAUGAUCUCCUGCUGCUGUCACAUGUGCUCCUGCAUUCUAGCAGGAAUUGCAUGAGGCAUCAGAUGGGCCUCAGGACGCAGAAUGGGUGAAGGAACAGGGUAGAGUAGAAAGCAAAAUGAGUAAAACAAGUCUUAACAGAAGAGAGAAAAAUGAUUUUGGAGAGAGGCCCUUCCCACAGAUCUCUAUGCUGUUCAUGGGAAGUUAGGGUUUGAGAUGGUUCUGGGAAGUGAGGUAUGGGGAGCAGAAGGGAAAUGAGAGCUGACUGAAUUGAAAUAACUAGACAAAUGUGGCUCUGGGUCUCUGGUUUUAGAUAAUUUUGCCAUGCAACAGUGGGGUCAGAUAAGAUUAAAAUAUACAUACCAGCUAUUUCCUAACACUGUCAUAUUCAAAGAGAAAGAGUUACACUUUGAAUUCUCAUUCCAAUGGGUACUGGGUCUAUUUCCUGUGCAGCUGAGCACAUGGCUUUAAGAGUGGGUAACACAGUCCAUUUCAGAGGAUCUGCACUAAUUGCUACAAUCAACUGGAGUAAAGCAGACUUGACUCCCUACACAACCCCACAUUGAUGGAUAAAAGGAUGGGAAGCUGGGAGAAGAGUUUCUUAUCUUUCUGUCCAUCAUUGAAGUUGUUGUUGCUAUUGGAGGGAGGGAAGGAAAGACUGGGAGUGGUAGGCAAGGUUGGUUUGUGAGGUCAGGAGAUGAGAAAAUGGGAGGGAGAAGGGUUGAAACACUUUCCCCACCCCAUGUCCCCUAACAUGCCUGUGAAACUUUAUAAUUCUUUAGCUAGUUUACAAGUAAUAACCAGUGACUUAAGUGAAAUACUUUAAGUUAAAUAAAUUUGGUUAAAAUUCUGUGCAAAAGGUAAGCAAUUUAAAUGAAAACUUGUUUCAAAAAUAGAGUCUGUAAACCAGGAUUGUAAACUAUAACAAAAAGGUUUUGUUGUAACUUGUUCCUUUCCUCACUGGAUGGAAUUCCUAAGCUUUGUAAAAUAUCUUAAAUAGAUGUGCUGACUUACACCCUUGCAAGCUCUUCUCUUUUUAACAAUGAAUAACCAAAGCUAUCAGAUUAUUAACAGUUUCUUUUUGUGUGUGUUCAUUUUUCCUUAACUUCCUCCUCAAAAGAAAAGGUGGUGUGAGUUUCAGUGACUUGAGAUGGUUGCUGGCAAAUAAAGUAUGUAAUACUUGCGCUUCUAGCCACAAACUACUGAAAUCCCAGAAAGAAAUCUUUGACGGUUUUCCUUGUCCUGUUUCUGUAUCAUAGAAGUGUAUGUGUUUUUAAGAGAAUAGCUGCUAUUUUAUAUUUAAAGAAGUUUAAAUGCAAAGAGGAUAGUAUUUUAGAGCUGCUGUUACACAUUCACCAUAGCUUUUAGUCUAAACAAUGCAUGUGGUGCCAGUAUGUCUACUGUCAAGCAAUAGACAGCUUUUCUUUUUUUUACAGCACUCACACAUAGUAGCUGUGUGAUUGCAGGCUGAAUCUAUGCAUUCUUCCAGCAAAUAACUCCCCAACUUUAUUUAUAGUAGUAUAUACUUUGGAAAUUAUAACUCUUUAUCUACUGUGGACAUCAUAUUAUUCGCUUAGUUGCCUUACAGUGUACUUUUUGUUUUGCCACCCACUUUGUUGUUCUGAAGAAGUUAUUUUCAGCCGCAAAUUGAGGUGCUGCUUUCUGUGGCUUGGUAUUCCACAAAAACACUGUUGCCCAAAUUGCUGAGACCAUGAAUCUGUACCCAUUUUUGGAGUACGUCUUUGUUUAGCGCUGUAGACAAUUAAGCAUUAGCCAGCAGAAUUUACAUCUUGGAGCCAGAGUGAAAGUCAUUGCAAAACACAAUCCAUCAGUAUUGUCAUUGUACUUGAGGGUCUACUCAGUUUUUUCUAAAUGAACUCGUAUCCUUUGCUUGCACAUGUAGAUGCACUGUUGAACUGAACUAAAUGUUAACCAGUUCAUGGCGCCUCAAUAACUUUGGCGACUCCCUAAAAUAUUUCAUUUCAGGAGAACUUUGGCAUCCCAGCUGGGGCAGUGGCUAGGAAUAUAUCUCUUCCCUUGUGCCACCUUUUUCCUAUGGCCUCUAGAGGCUGUACAGGCUGGGACAAAGGUGGUGCUUCUAUCAGUGGUGAAUAGAACUUCCUGGUUUUCUGCCCUUGCCAGGUCAAGGACAUCUGAGCAGAAAGAUAGGGAUAGGGUCACCAGAUUUAUGUAGCCAUUUCUCUCUCCCCCCGCCCCUGCUUCACACCUUCUCCCCUAUAGAAAAUAAAGAGAAAGAGAGAGAUUAUGGUGGCAUGGAUAGAAAUAAGGAAUUUCCUUGUUUACUUUUGGCUCUGGCCGUAUGUGACCUCCAACCAGUUCCCCCUGAGGACCCUUAAUAACACAGUUUCAAUGAAGCAGCAUUAAAAAUGGGGUCCGGAGAGCCAGUACUAACCAGAGAACAACUCAUAAUCAUAGGCUGCUUUAAAAGAAGAGUCUUUAAGUGCUGGUUGAACACAAAGUGGAAGAUGAUCAAACCUCUUGGGACAGCAAGUUCCACAUAUGGGGUGCUGCAACAAAGCAACCAUUUUUGCAUGUUGCCACCAAACAUGCCUCAGAAAUGGAGAAGGCCUCAUGUUUUCUGGUUCCACAUUUGCUUUUUAAAAAUUGGGAGAAAGGGGUUCUGGGCUUUGAGGGCUGGUUAGCUGCUUGACUCUCCCUUGCCCACCUACUCACCUACCAAGGAACUGCUCCUGCUCAGGUGAAGAGGCCUCCCAUGUCCAACUUUGGGAAGGAGGCAGCAAGGCUCCAGAAUCCUGUCAGAGCAUCACGUCUCCUUCCCUAAGCUGGGCAAACACUUUCUGGGUUUGGGGAAGGAGGCGCAAUGCUCUGAUGUGGUCCAAGAGCCUUCCCACCUCCUUGCCCCUCCCCCCAAAUGUGGCGGUACUGCUUACCAUUAUGUAGUGCCAGAAAAAAGCACUGGCUGUGUAGUCUGAACCAUUUCUACUCAGAAAUAAUUCGGUAGGACUAACUCCCAGGUAAAUGGGUUAGGAUUGCAACCUUUGUGCACUUUUAACACUCAACGUCCCAGGACGUUGCAGUUCUCAGAUGUCUAACAAAGCAGUAAUGUACAGAGGCACCAGGAUUAACAAGAGAGAGAAAAAUCAGACAAAAGUGAAUCUCAAGCUCACAUCCUAGUGGUAGAAGUUGUUCCAAGUCCCUGCUGCUGGAUCUUCAGGGGAAGAGCAAAGGUGCUGUGGGAGUAAUUAAGGUGGGAGAGAGUCAACUGGUGACUUUAGGCUUCUCAUUUGACCUUGUCAUGUGCACAUGUCAUGUGCAGAAGAGAGUGCAGCGCCAUUCUUCCUCCUUCACUUCCUAGGCUCUUUAGCCCCCAUUGAGCCGGGAACAGUGGCUGAGGACAAAAGCUGUAUACACUGUACAAACAGAGCACCAAAGCAGCAGUACACUGACUCAUUCUUCGCUCUGUGUGAGAACUGAGGGGGACUCUAUUCACUUCCUUUGUGCUGGUGUCUGUCAACAGCGCUGUUUGAGGCAAGGCCUAUUGUGCCGGCCAAUGUUUCUUAUUGACCCAAGUCUGUGCCUGCAAUGUUCCCAGGGUCGAAGUUGCGAGUGAGAGAAUGUUUGAAAAGGGGUAAUCAUAGGGUAAAUGCAUUUUGCUGCAUUGUCAUCUGACCUAUUAAAUCUAAACUGUGGUCUUUGUUAAUGCAAACAGGUAAUUAUGUAGUCACAGCUGCAGCUAUUGACAUCUGGUUACCGCCCUAAGGGGGGAAAAUAGGUGGUUUUCUCUACAGUGUCUAGGUCCUUGAAAGCUUGACUUUAAUGAUAUUAAGUGGAAGUAGAGGAUGGAUUAGUGAGACUGACAGGUCAACAGGGUAGAUACUUUUAUACAUAUAAGGGGGGAAAGCUGUGAUCACUGAUAUGAACUUCUUCAUCCUACCUGUUUCAGCAUUUUCCCAUUGCUGUACAUUUGGCUGUUUUGUAUUUCCCGAUCUAGUUUCUCAGUGACUGUGAGCCAAGUUUGGGGAGUACAUUUUGUAUCUUGCCUUCCUGCCUCUUUUCAUAUUCUAAUACCAUUGUCACUUUCUUUCUUAUAACUGACUUACUGCUGUAGCACAUAUGUAUGUUAUACCAUCCCUCUAGGCUGAGCUGCUAGGAGCUUAAUAUUUAUAGCAUUAUUAUGCGUAAGUUUAAAUCCUUAAGUGGUAAGUGUGCUAGGGUGGUAAUAGCAUUCCUGGCAAUAAAUUAUUUUUAUUGCAGCUGCCUUGCUUUCAGCAUAAAAAAGGUUGACAUUCAUGGUACCAGUUGAAAAUCCUCCAAUGUAAAAGCCUGUUUCCAGUGUAUUUUCCAGGGAAUUUUAACGGCAGAUGUUUUGAAAGUCACAAUUCUCCUCAGGGCCUAAUAAUGUUUGUUGCAAGAUUGGUGAUGAACUUGAAUUUGGAAAACAAGGCUGUAGUGAAUGUAAAGUCACAUAUAAUUCUAGCUCACUUGAUCAGCAGCUGAAGAAGGAGCAAAAAGGGUUUUCUUGUGUGUGUGUUUCUUUGUGGCUGAUUAGCUGCUCUCUCUGUGCAAAGGUCAGAGGGGGCAGGGUUUCUGUUGAGGCAGGUGAUUAGCUGUGGGAGGAGCUUAUCAGAGCUUGCAGGGCAGCGGCGCGCACAGUUUGAUCCAUCUUUUAGAUUUAGGGGAGCUAGUCUCAAACGUUUGUUGGGGGAGACCUAGGGUUUUUUGUGGGGGGAGUUAUUUGUCCUGUCUUCACGCUUUUUAUGAUGGAGGACCGCUGUAGCCACCCCCAACGACACGUUCUCAAGAUGGAGGGGGAGGGAACAGCUGCAGUCGCCUGCGGUUCCUGCGCAAUGUUUGCCAUCUUGCCAAAGGUUGCAGGCAGCUUUACCUGCAGCAAUUGCAUGUUGAUUGCCCUCUUAGAAGACAAAGUCCAGCAACUGGAGGAACGUGUAGCUACGCUCCAAAGAAUUAGAGAGCUGGAGCUCUUCUUGGAAGCAACAGAGCACACCGUCUCCACCAAGGAGGAGACAGGGGACUCCCCUGAGAAGGAGGCUAGUUCACCAACACAGGAGCCAGAUAUAUGGAGAAACGUGACUCAAAGAAGUAGGAGGCCCAGGGUUCGCUCUGAUUGUUUAGAAAUACACAAUCGCUUUGAGGUCCUCUCCCCUAGCAUGGAAAACGAAGAGCAGACUCCAUUUGAGGAUCUCUCUCUCAUUACAGUCGAUCAGGUAUAUGAAGAUGAGCAGCAAAGUCAGUUCUCAGGGAAUGUGCAGGCGACCUUGGAACGGACAGCUCACGGAAGAACCCCGACCAAACCUAAGAGGAGGCGUGUAGUGGUGAUAGGGGAUUCCCUACUGAGGGGAACACAAGCAGUGAUCUGUGGGCCUGACAAAAUGUCUCGGCAAGUGUGCUGUCUCCCCGGGGCUAAGAUCCAAGAUGUAACUGAAUGACUGCAAGGAAUCAUAAAACCCACUGACAAAUACCCCUUCCUCUUGGUUCAUGUGGGAACCAAUGACACUGCAAGCAAUAGCCUCCAGAAGAUCAAAAGAGACUACGAGGCUCUGGGCAGGAAACUGAAGCAAUUAAAUGCACAAAUUGUCAUCUCAUCUGUCCUCCCAGUUGAACGACGUGGCCCAGGGAGAGAGGGAAAAUAGUGGAAGUGAACAGCUGGCUUCGCAAAUGGUGUAAACAGGAACGGUUUGGAUUCUUAGAUCACGGACUGCAGUUUCUUGAAGAUGGACUUCUGGCAAGCGAUGGGCUGCACCUCACAACGGUUGGGAGGAAUGUUUUUGCCAAAAAUCUCAGAAACCUCAUCAGGAGGGCUUUAAACUGACUAAUGUGGGGGAGGGAGACAGUGCUCCUGAAGGUAGGAGUCUAUCAAUUGAUGAAGAUGAUCAUCCAACUGUCAUAGACCAAAUGGAGCAAACAGCACGCAGACCUAGUGGUGGGAGGAAAAAAUCCUUAAAUAAGAGACAUGGGGGAAUCAUUAAUGGACUUCAGUGUCUGUACACUAAUGCGCAAAGCAUGGGAAAUAAACAAGAUGAGCUUGAGCUCUUGGUACAGCAAACUAAAUAUGACAUAAUAGGCAUCACUGAAACCUGGUGGGAUAGGUCCCACGAUUGGAAUGUCAUAAUGGAGGGAUACAAUCUAUUUCAAUGAUGAGUAAAACCUCUGCCAUCCACGACCUGAUUGUGGAUGGAGGAUUUGACCUGGCAUGUGUGACAGAGACCUGGUUGGAUGAAGCAGAUGGGUCCGUCCUUGCCGCUGCUUGUCCACCAGGUUUCUGUUACGCACAGCAACCCAGGCCUUGUGGGCGGGGAGGGGGGGUUGCAGUGAUUUUUAGGAAGUCAUUAGUUUGCACCAGGCGUCCUAUUGGAAAGACCCAGUUCUCUGAGUGCAUGUUCUGGAAGUUGGGCAAUAGGGGCAGUACAGGAUUCCUAUUGGUGUACCGACCUCCCGCUGCACCAAGGAUUCCCUGCCCGAGCUGCUUCAGGUCGUGGCGGAUGUCCUCCUGGAGACACCUAGUUUGGUUGUCCUAGGGGACUUUAACAUCCAUGCCGACACGACCUUCUCGGGACUUCGUGGAAAGCAUGGCCUCCAUGGGGCUGUCCCUGAAUAAGUCUGGCCCAACUCAUAGCCACGGGCAUGCCUUAGACCUGGUGUUCACCUCUAUGGAUGUUGGUGAUCUGACAUUAAGUAAAAGCAAAACCAAAGAAGUGCCAUGGUCAGAUCACUUCCUGGUGCAACUGGACUUCUCCGUGACCCUUCCUCUGCAGGGAGGCGGGACCGAUUCAGAUGGUCCGCCCCACCACUUAAUGGAUCCAAAUGGUUUCCAGAGAGUGGUAGGGGAUGUUUUAUCCCAUGUUGAUGGCCUUUCAGCUGAUUCCCUGGUGGCCCGCUGGAAUGUGGAGUUAACCAGGGCUAUUGACUGUUUGGCUCCAAAGCGCCCUCUCCGAUUGCAUGGAGUCCGGACAGCCCCGUGGUUUUCCACGGAUCUGAGGGCAAUGAAACAAUCGUUGAGACGGCUAGAGCGCCGGUGGCGGAUAACCCAUUCUGAAUCUGACCGGACACGGGUUAGAGCUCAAUGUCGAGCCUACCAAGUGGCGAUAGCGACGGCGAAGAAGACUUUCUUCACCGCCUCUAUUGCAUCUGUGGAAAACAGCAGCAGGAGACUCUUUCAGGUGGUUCGCAAUUUAGCGGAACCACCUGCUCCAUCAGGGCCCAGUAGCGGCCACAUGAUCUCCUGCAAUGACUUUGCAAAGUGUUUGCAGAUAACGUCACUCGGAUUCGAGGAGAGGGCGACUCCACCGUGGGAGCAGGGCCCGGGCGGGAGAGUGCUAGAGUCCUGUCUAGUCAAGUUGUGUGGGAUCAAUUCCAAUCUGUUACCCCCGAGGAUGUGGACAGGCUGCUUGGACGAGUGAAACCAACCACUUGCCUCCUUGAUCCUUGCCCAUCCUGGCUUAUAAAAGCUAGCCGGGAAGGACUGGGCGAUGGGCUUCGUGGGGUGGUGAAUGCUUCCCUCCGCGAGGGAGCCUUCCCAGACCCGCUGAAAGAGGCGGUUAUUAAACCGCUUCUUAAAACCAUCUUUAGAUGCGGCCACGAUAGCCAACUAUCGCCCAGUCUCAAAUCUUCCAUUCUUGGGCAAGGUGAUUGAGCGAGUGGUUGCUGAACAACUCCAGGCACGCCUGGAAGAAGCGGACCAUUUGGAUCCCUUCCAGUCGGGAUUCAGGCCUCAUCAUGGGACUGAAACUGCCUUGGUCGCACUGGUUGAUGAUCUCCGGCGGGCUAGGGACAAAGGUGAGAGCUGUUUCCUAGUUCUGCUGGAUCUCUCAGCGGCGUUGAUACCAUCGACCAUAACAUCCUUCUGGACCGUCUUGAGGGGCUGGGAGCUGGGGGCACUGUUAUACAGUGGUUCCGCUCCUUCCUCCUGGGCCGUGUUCAGAAAGUGGUGGUGGGGGAUGAGUGUUCAGACCCCUGGGCCCUCACUUGUGGGGUGCCUCAGGGUUCUGUCCUCUCCCCCAUGCUUUUCAACAUCUACAUGAAGCCGCUGGGAGAGAUCAUCAGGGGAUUUGGGCUGGGUAUGCAGAUGAUACCCAGUAUGAUACCCAGUAUCAGUAUGCAGAUGAUACCCAGCUCUACCUCUCUUUCAAAUCAGAACCAGUGAAGGCAGUGAAGGUCCUGUGUGAGUGCCUGGAGGCGGUUUGAGGUUGGAUGGCGGCUAACAGAUUGAGGUUGAACCCUGACAAGACAGAAGUACUGUUUUUGGGGGACAGGAGGCGGGCAGGUGUGGAGGAUUCCCUGGUCCUGAAUGGGGUAACUGUGCCCCUGAAGGACCAGGUGCGCAGCCUGGGAGUCAUUUUGGACUCACAGCUGUCCAUGGAGGCACAGGUCAAAUCUGUGUCCAGGGCAGCUGUUUACCAGCUCCAUCUGGUACGCAGGCUGAGACCCUAUCUGCCUGCGGACUGCCUCGCCAGAGUGGUGCAUGCUCUGGUUAUCUCCCGCUGGAUUACUGCAAUGCGCUCUACGUGGGGCUACCUUUGAAGGUGACCCGGAAACUACAACUAAUCCAGAACGCGGCAGCUAGACUGGUGACUGGGAGCGGCCGCAGAGACCACAUAACACCGGUCUUGAAAGACCUACAUUGGCUCCCAGUACGCUUCCGAGCACACUCAAAGUGUUGGUGCUGACCUUUAAAGCCCUAAACGGCCUUGGUCCAGUAUAUCUGAAGGAGCCGUCUCCACCCCCAUCGCUCUACCCGGACACUGAGGUCCAGCACUGAGGGCCUUCUGGCGGUUCCCUCACUGCGAGAAGCCAAGUUACAGGGAACCAGGCAGAGGGCCUUCUCGGUAGUGGCGCCUUCCCUGUGGAACACCCUCCCACCAGAUGUCAAAGAGAACAACAACUACCAGGCUUUUAGAAGACAUCUGAAGGCAGCCCUGUUUCGGGAAGCUUUUAAUGUUUGAUGUAUUAUAGUAUUUUAAUAUUCUUUUGGAAGCCGCCCAGAGUGGCCGGGGAAGCCCAGCCAGAUGGGCGGGGUAUAAAUAAUAAAUUAUUAUUAUUAUUAUUAUUAUUAUUAUUAUUAUUUCGGAGAAACAGACCAGACAAGAAAGGAGGAGGAGUGGCGUUAUAUGUCAGGGAUGUGUAUACCUGUGAAGAGAUCCAAGAUUUAGAACCUCAAAGCCAAAGUGAGAGCAUUUGGGUCAAAAUUAAGGGAGAGAAGAAUAACAGUGACCUCAUUGUGGGAGUUUACUAUAGAUCCCCAAGCCAAACGGAGGACAUAGAUGAUGCCUUCCUGGAACAGAUGGCCAAGCAUGCAAAAGGAAGGGAGAUAGUAGUAAUGGGGGACUUCAAUUACCCGGAUAUUUGUUGGAUGUCAAACUCAGCCAAGAGCAUAAGGUCAAACAGAUUCCUCACUGGCCUUGCAGACAACUUCAUUGUCCAGAAAGUGGGAGAAGCAACAAGAGGAACAGCCAUUUUAGAUCUGGUCCUAACCAAUGUUGAUGACCUGGUUAGUGGGGUAGAAGUGGAAGGAUCAUUAGGCGCAAGUGAUCAUGCUCUUCUGAAGUUUACUAUACAGCGGAAAGGAGCAGCCAAGCAUACUAGGACUCAAGUUCUUGACUUUAAGAAAGCCGACUUCAUAAAACUUAGGGAAGUGCUGGGUGAGAUCCCAUGGACAGUAAUACUAAAAGGAAAGGGAGUUCAUGAUGGCUGGGAGUUUGUUAAGAGGGAGAUAGUAAAAGCACAACUUCAGGCAAUACCAAUGAGACAGAAACAUGGAAGGUGCCUAAAGAAGCCAGGGUGGCUAUCUAAAGAACUUUUAACUGAGUUAAGAUUAAAAAGGAUGUGUACAAAAAUGGAAAAGGGGGGAAACCACCAAAGAGGAAUUCAAACAAAUAGCCAGCACGUGUAGACACAAAGUCAGAAAAGCUAAAGCAUAGAAUGAACUCAGGCUUGCUAGAGAGGUUAAAAGCAACAAAAAAGGCUUUUAUGGGUAUGUUCGUAGCAAAAGGAUGAACAAAGAAACAGUGGGGUCACUCAGAGGAGAAAAUGGUGAAAUGCAAACAGGGGACACAGAAAGGGCUGAACUCCUCAAUGCCUUCUUUGCCUCAGUCUUCUCCGAUAAAGAAAACAAUGCCCGACCUGAAGAAUUUGGAGCAAAUGAUUCAGCAGAGGAAACACAGCCCAGAAUAACUAAGGAGAUAGUACAAGAAUGCUUGGCUAGUUUAGAUGUAUUCAAGUCUCCAGGGCCAGAUGAACUGCAUCCAAGAGUAUUAAAAGAACUGGCAGAUGUGAUCUCAGAACCACUGGCAGUCAUCUUUGAGAAUUCCUGGAGAACAGGCGAAGUCCCGGCAGACUGGAGGAGGGCAAAUGUUGUCCCUAUUUUCAAAAAGGGGAAAAGAGAGGACCCAAAUAAUUACCGCCCAGUCAGUCUGACAUCAAUACCAGGGAAGAUUCUGGAGCAGAUCAUUAAGCAAACAGUCUGUGAGCACCUAGAAAGGAAUGCUGUGAUCACCAAUAGUCAGCAUGGAUUUCUGAAAAAUAAGUCAUGUCAGACUAACCUGAUCUUGUUUUUUGACAGAAUUACAAGCCUGGUAGAUGAAGGGAACGCAGUGGAUGUAGCCUACCUUGAUUUCAGCAAGGCAUUUGACAAGGUGCCCCAUGAUAUUCUUGUAAAGAAGCUGGUAAAAUGCGGUCUUGACUAUGCUACCACUCAGUGGAUUUGUAACUGGCUGACUGACCAAACCCAAAGGGUGCUCAUCAAUGGUUCCUCUUCAUCCUGGAGAAGAGUGACUAGUGGGGUGCCACAGGGUUUUGUCUUGGGCCCGGUCUUAUUCAACAUCUUUAUCAACGACUUGGAUGAUGGACUCAAGGGCAUCCUGAUCAAAUUUGCAGAUGACACCAAACUGGGAGGGGUGGCUAACACCCCAGAGGACAGGAUCACACUUCAAAACGACCUUGACAGAUUAGAGAACUGGGCCAAAGCAAACAAGAUGAAUUUUAACAGGGAGAAAUGUAAAGUAUUGCACUUGGGCAAAAAAAAUGAGAGGCACAAAUACAAGAUGGGUGACACCUGGCUUGAGAGCAGUACAUGUGAAAAGGAUCUAGGAGUCUUGGUUGACCACAAACUUGACAUGAGCCAACAGUGUGACGCGGCAGCUAAAAAAGCCAAUGCAAUUCUGGGCUGCAUCAAUAGGAGUAUAGCAUCUAGAUCAAGGGAAGUAAUAGUGCCACUGUAUUCUGCUCUGGUCAGACCUCACCUGGAGUACUGUGUCCAGUUCUGGGCACCACAGUUCAAGAAGGACACUGACAAACUGGAAUGUGUCCAGAGGAGGGCAACCAAAAUGGUCAAAGGCCUGGAAACGAUGCCUUAUGAGGAACGGCUAAGGGAGCUGGGCAUGUUUAGUCUGGAGAAGAGGAGGUUAAGGGGUGAUAUGAUAGCCAUGUUCAAAUAUAUAAAAGGAUGUCACAUAGAGGAGGGAGAAAGGUUGUUUUCUGCUGCUCCAGAGAAGCGGACACGGAGCAAUGGAUCCAAACUACAAGAAAGAAGAUUCCACCUAAACAUUAGGAAGAACUUCCUGACAGUAAGAGCUGUUCGACAGUGGAAUUUGCUGCCAAGGAGUGUGGUGGAGUCUCCUUCUUUGGAGGUCUUUAAGCAGAGGCUUGACAACCAUAUGUCAGGAGUGCUCUGAUGGUGUUUCCUGCUUGGCAGGGGGUUGGACUCGAUGGCCCUUGUGGUCUCUUCCAACUCUAUGAUUCUAUGAUUCUAUGAUCAAUUUGACUGAUCUCUCAGCUCUUUGCUUUUUAGCUGGCUACUUGAGUUUUGAGUCUAAGUCACAACAACAUUCAACAUGGAUAGGUGGGUGCCAUAAUAAUAAGAGAAAACUAGGACAUUAGCGGGCAGAUAAAUUUUGAUUGUAUAUUUCUGGUUAUUUUUUAUAAUAUACAAGUCACUUCCAUAUUUUCAUAAGCUUCUGAGUUUUUCAGGAGUGCUUCUAGAUUAGCCUUAUUCAGUUACUGACCCAUUUAUUUAUUAGUAUCAGAUAUUUUAAGUAAACUAUUUCUACCUAGUCUUUCCAUCCAAAAGAACUUGCAAGGUGGCUAACAAAAUAGAAUCACAAUAAAACAAUUAAAUAAUCAUUGAAUUACAUAACAGUAAAUAUACACAUAGCUGCAACACCAGCAAGCGGUAGAUCAGUCAUACAGUAGUAAAUAUAAACAAUAAUCAGCUUCACCUAUCUCAGAAGCCCCACAGACAAGUCAUGCUAGCCUCUGUCUAAUAGGACUGCAAUGAGUCCCCAACCCCUCUCUUCUGUAUUGUGAGGCAUACUUGCAAAUCUUCCCACUACCCUUUUCUUUUUAAAGAUACAGUAAUUAAAUAAGUUUAUAGACUAUGAAAAUGCAUAUUACAAUCAGUAUGUGCCAGCCUCAGCUGUGGGCAUUUGCCACCCAUACACUGACCAUUGUAGCCACUUUCCCUUAUUGUACGUAGCAUGAGAACAGUAGAGUUGAAAAAUUGUGUUGUGUGCUUUUUUUUAAUAUGUGGGAGAAGUUGGGCAAUGCAAUGCUUUGACUUACAAUGAGUUUACUUCUAUUAUUUAUUUUAUUUUGUAGCCCACACUUUUCCCCUGAAGGGCUCCCAAAGUGGCUUUACACAAAAGCAAUAAAGAGUAAAAUUGUGUACAAUAUAAAAAUUAAAAUUAUAACAGUCAAAUCAUGUAAAAUACAGAGAGUGGGGAAUACUUAAGCUGCAGCAUCAGCAUUAUUGAAGAGCCAGUUGUAAAAAGCAAGCAGUGACUGGGCCAAAGAGACCUACUCAGGAAGAUCUUAUCAGCAAUGGCUGACAGGUCCCAGGCUCUACUGCUCACCCACCUCACUUCUGAAUGCAGGGGAAUGAGGAGAGGGACUUGGCUGUUGAUGAGAAUGCACAAAUUGGUACAUGUGGGAUGAUACAAUUAUUCAGGUAUUCUGGCGCCAAAUGGCAUUAAAAGCCCUUAACGGCUAAUGGCACCUUGAAUUGGACCCAGAAACAAAUGGCAGUCAAUGACGAUUGAGAUAUGUUGCAAACAAUAAGCCUUAGUUAAAAGCCUGACUGCUAUAUUUUGUACCAGUUGAAGUACCCUGCUUAUAGAACAAGGUCUCUAUCUCCAGAUUUGGCUCAGUAAGAACAUUGGUUUGCUUUUUCUUCUUCUUUGCCUCAGAAGGGAUAGUGCUAUAUGCAGGCACUUCACCUAUUCUGAAUAUUUAAAAUACUUAAUAAGCUACUUUUUAGGGUAAAGCUUGCCAAAGCCUAGUGUACAAAGAUAAAAGAAAGCUGAACGUUCAACCAUACUUUAUAAAACGGUAGUUUUGAAUCUUUAGAUCAGUCCAGCAGUUCAGUCCCGUGUUUUUGCAUAUUUAAGAGCAAAGGAGUAUUCUGGGUAAAAAGGUUUAACAAAAUAAUAUUUUACAGAAUCUAAGUGAUAGUGUUGUUGAAUAAUGCUUUAUUUUUCCUUCUUUUUGUCUGCCUUCCAAGGAUUCUAUAGGAGUUGAAUGACACUGGAGUAGAAGAAAUUUCCUACUAGUUUUGGUGCUUAUUUUUAAUUUGUGUCCCUGGAAAAUCUAUAUAACCUGAAACCCUUAGGCAUCCUUGUAAUCUUAUUAGUAUAUUUUGCUCAGUUUUCCCCCUUCCUUUGUUGUAACUAAAAGAACCCGAAGCCUUGGCAUGUUACAGCAUGAAACUGUAAACCAAUUUUCCUCUGGACACCAUGUCUAAAGAACAACAUGUUGUUUAAAAAGCCUCCUUGCAAUAUUUGUAACUCCCUAUAGGCUGAAUAAAAGACACAUCUUUCUCUGUUUUGCUAAGUGUCUUAAUUAGGUAUUGGCUGAAAGCCAUGGCCAGUAUAAAAUGGGAUUUUCCUAAGACAACAGCAGAAACUCAUAGUAUCAGUUUUUGGCAGGGUCUUGACUGUCUUAGCAACAUUCUGUGCUUGUACUUACCUGUUGUGAGAAAGUAGGAUGCUGCCCAGGCUUGAAGUAAGCAGGUGGACAUUUUCUCAGUGCAAGUCUAAAAACUCUAUAAAGGUUUCGGAAAGAAGGGUAACUGUCAGUGAACAUGGUCAUUGUUACGAGCCACUGUACUCAACAAAACUCAGUCACAAGUGGAUGGACUAAUUAAACCUGUAGAAAAAUGUCAGCUUUGUCAGACUGUACCAAAUAUAGAGAAGUGCCUCUCUUUCAGAUCUUCUGCUUUUGCUUCGACUUAGUAUUUUUUAUUACGCUUCAUUCCUCUGCAUCUGAAAUCUGAGCCCAGAUGAAACACUUUUCCAUAUAAGAAUACAGCACAAAGAGCAACUAUGGAUACCAUUUAUUUCUUAUGUGAAUAUGAGUAAGAAUAUAUAGGAACAAGCCUUUCUGAUCUCACUUUUAAGAUACCAGAUUACUGUGUCAGAUUAAUGAGCAUUUCUUAAAUGCUGGUUGCAGAGUUUCUGAUAGUGUGAGUGAGAUACCUUGAGGGAAGGAAUGGGGAUUGUGGAAAGGUUAAACGAAACUACCUUGCACUUGCAUAGUGCCACAUCCCUGUCUGAAAUAAUGCAAGAAAUGUGCUUGCCUCUUCUGUCUACUGUGUGCUUAAUUUCAAUGCAGUAGAAAUGGCAGCAAGUUUAGUUGCAUUUUGUUUUCAUUAGAUUGUAGGCAUGUGAAAUACAGAAGGAUCUCUAGAGCCCGAACAAUGCACCGAGAAGGGUAUGGUGGGUGGGUGUGAUGGUGGCAGGAUGCCUAGCACCUCAAUCUUGUCCACUGUUCAGAAUUUGGGUAUUUUUUUAUUGGCAUGUACAGCAAAAUAAUAAAUGGGCCCAGUGUGGAAUCUCCUGGAUCCUGAGCACCUCUCACAGCCAGCGUCUUCUGGCAUACUGCCCAAUCCAGGCCUGAUCAGACCCAGCCUGUCUCCUGACCACCACCACCACCUGCUGCUGUGAGUUCCCAGGGGGCAGGGGCAGGCUUGGAUUGCUCAGCCCUUGAUUUCCUCCUGUUGAUAUCCUAGGACUCAGCUAGAUUUGUAAAGAAAAAGCGAUUUAUCUGCGUUGUAUAUGCAAUAUAACAUUGUGCCACCAGAUGACGAUAUGGAGUCCCAUUUUUCUCUCCCUGUUUUCCCUGUUUAAAUUUACAACACCUUUAACUGAAACGCUUCUUUGAUCUAGCCCUACUGUCCCUCUCAGUAGGAGCAUGUCAGGGAUAAUAAUACAGUAUCACAUUCAUUUUUUGUCCCACUUUUGAGGGGCCCAAGGUGUAACCUUUUAACAGCAAGCAGAAAAAAGAAGCAAACAAAGCAGAUAGCAAGCAACAGAGAAGAGAUAAUGUAAGAACACUUGAGGAGUCAGGGAGAGUCAAAUAAUACAUCUAAUGUUCCAUAUUGGCAUAUGAAUGCCUUUUUCUUUCAGGUCUGUUUCUUAAAGCUAACUUAGUAGAUUAAAAACAAACAAAAAAAUAAGGCAGUACUGCCUUGGAGAGAGAGCAUCAGUCAUGAAAUUUGAAAAGAACUUGGGUAGCGGUGAAAGCAAUUUCUCUAUAUCAUCUUCUGAAUAAAAGAAGACAUUCAUGGAAUUCUUAGAUGUUUUGUGUCUUCUGCUCUGCAAAAUCAUUGUGAAAUGUGAAGUCUGGCAAGAAUGAUAUUAAAAAACAACAACAAAAAACAGCUGCUGAAUUUGCCCAACUUGUGCAGCUGUUGCUUGAUGUCUGGUACUGUGAGAGCACCUUUCUGGCAGGUUCUCAGGCUCCACUCGGAGGUCAGAACAGGAUUAGGACAGGAACCAUUUUGCCUAUACUGACAGCUGCACUAUUCAGUCAGUGGGGUCUGACAUCAGCUUUGGAACUUCAGAAGAAUUUACAAUUGGUGCACAAUCAAAAACGUUUAUAUCUCUAGCCAGAAGUCAGACAUACUGAAAAGAUAGAUAUGAGAAUAUGGUGCGUUGUGGUUUUUUAAAAGCACAACAAAUAAUCUUUCCUUCGCCCGUCAGUUGUAUGAUGACCAGCACUGGGUGAAAUCCCCAAACAUCUCUGACUUCUCCCCAGCUAUAACAUGACUAAGUGGCUGGAGGAGCAGAGAGGAAACGCAUGUUUCCUCUGCAGCAACAGGGAGUGAUGGGAGCGGUGAACCAAGAAAUUGGUUCAGGGUGUAGAUAUUCUUGUUUGGUAUAAUUAUUUGUUGAUAGUUGUAAGACACCACUGAAUGUCCCCCCCCCCCCCGACUUUUUCCCAGGCCACGUCCCUCCUCAGCCCUGCUCUGAGCCCUCCCCAAGAGCCACUGCCUGGCUAGAAUGUGUCUUUGAAAUUGGAUAGUGCAUCUUGCUUGUCUGGAUAGAGAAGUGUGUGUAUGUGUUUGUGUUUGUGUGUAGAAACCUCUGACUUUUGCGUGGCUGGAAUGUCUCAACCAUAAUACAGUCAUUCCUCUUGUUACGUUUGCUUCAUGGUACAUUUUUUCAGGUUGCGUCCCACGGCGACCCAGAAGUACCGGAAAGGGUUACUUCCGGGUUUCGCUACUCGCGCAUGCACAGACGCACAAAAUGACAUCAUGCGCAGAAGCGGUGAAUUGCGACCCGCCCAUGCGCAGACGCGGGUUACGUUCCUUUCAGGUUGCGAACGGGGCUCCGGAACGGAUCCCAUUCACAACCAGAAGUACCACUGUAUAGAAUUAAGAUUAUAAUACUACUAUAGCACUAACAGUUCAACAAUUAAUUUUAUUUAAGAGAGCAUAACACUUAUCAAAAAGCCACUUCAUAUCCCACAGUGGCCACACACAACUUUUAUAACGGGACGCAAAAGGUCAGAAACCCCUUAACAGUUUUUCUGGCAGCUGUUUCCUUAAGAAGGCGACAAGGUGGGUAAGUGACAAACACAGUCUCUCUCCCCACCCCACCCCUCAGUGUUCCACCAUCAGCUGUCAUAUGAAGACUUGUGGGGAAGAAUAGGUUCAUUGAAUCAUAGAACUGUAGAGUUUGAAGGGGUCCUGAGGGUCAGCUAGUCCAACCCCCUGCAGUGCAGGAAAGUCAUAAAUGAGUUUUCCCAAAGAUAAGUAGAAUAAACCACAUUUUACAGUACUCUGUGGUUCAGUCAUACAUAUGUCACAGUCCUAUUUCAGUGGGUCCCAUGUGGUUACUCAUGAAACGUGAAAAUUGUAUUCUUCCCUCCACUUUGUAGAAAGAGAAUAAAGUUUGCAUUUGGGACUUCCGGGGUGGCGCCAUCGGCAAUGGUGGAUUCCCUCUGAACUGGAGGGACCAGCUCCACAGGAAUCGGGUCUUUUCCGCUAUGGCGAAGCGGGGACCCAUUCAAAAAUCACAGGCGGAUGAAGCCUGUGACCAUGGGACUCGGCGGGCACCUUUAGCGCCCCCCCCAACCCGCAAAGGAACCCACUAACGGGCUCCGGAGCGAAGAGGGGGAGUGGCGCGGUGCUGAGAGUCAACUGCUUCUUCCGUGGAGCGAAGCCGCACAGCCGUUGCCGGAGAGCGCUGCCUUUUCCUGGGACAAUUUGGCUUUUAAAACAACCACCCGUGAGUACUUAAGUUUCGGACAAUUGGACUCUAAAUAAGGAUUUGCGAGCAGAAAGGAAAACUGGACUUAAAAGUUUAAUUUAAUUUGGCACUGAAACGGGAAGGUCUAAACAGGAAGUCAGCCUUCCGUUUCUUUGUAGAUAGAUUAAAGCAAAGACACAGCAAACUAAAGUUCUGAAAAUCGCUUCUAAAGGAUUAACUUUCAUCAUUUAAAAUUGUGGAACCCCUUCGGAAGCAGGAGAAGAGGGGGGAUUUUUUCUGGACUGUUUAAACCUGCAGAAGUGAGUGUAAAGUAAAGUAACUUUCCACCGUCUUGAUCCUGCAGCGGGGUGUCAGGACUGACGUUCUUUGAAGCUCAUUGACCAGACACAAACGUUUUUGACAGAUAGCUAAAGGAAGAGAUACAUAGUGAUUCCAUUGUUCCCCUUCACAUUUUAAAGGAACAAAUAUUGACAAAAUAUCUGAAAAUGGAAACUUUGUUGUUAGAUUUGUUUUUAAAAGAAAAGAACAAGCAUAAGUUUUUCCCCUAGAGGGAGCCUGUGAAACUGUAACCAAUUUUGAAUUGGGAAGCUCGCAGCUGUUACAGAUUACGAUCGUGGGAAUAGACUCCUGACCUUGCAGGACAAUGUAUUCAGAAGCUCUGUUGAGUGCUUUCUGUAAAACAAGUGCCCUACUGGAACAGCUACAUGAGAAGACGGAUUUUAUGACUGAUGCGAUUAGAAAUUUUGGACAGGCAGUGGGAUAUUAUAUAGAGCCCACCCAGGAAUUAGAUCAGGGUGCCCUGACAGAACAGAUGAGGAAGAGGAUGUUGCUGAAUCUUGGGCGCCAGGGAUGGAGGGAGCUGCGGCCCAGCAGGAACAUGAAUUCUUGGAUUUGACAAAUGAACUUGGAAAAAGCCAGAUUUGGAAAGAUAAAGUUUGGUUUGGUUUGGAAAUGGGGGGUUGGAUAGACCCCCCUAUGCAGGGAGGUUUGGACUUUUCGAGUCUGGCAAUGGGCCAUCAGAUGUUUGGGGUUGUGGGGCUCUCAAUUUUGGAGGGUCUUUGAAACAUGUUCUUAAAUACCACAUGGAGCUUAGUGGGGACUAUGGAAAAGGGGCUGAUUUGUCGAGAAGGGUCAAAAGCAUUGUCAAGCUGGAGUUCCCAAGAGUGAAAGAAGUAGGAGAUAAAGGAAAAUAUAGCUAUAAAUAUGAAGAAGAGCUGCGGAAGGGACAUGGAAGAGACUUAAGGGCCUCGGACAUAAGGUUACCAGGUUAAUGCGCUAGAUUGAUGGGAUAGAAAGGACUGACAAAACCUGAGUCCAGGAGGAAGAGACGCUGGAUGAAGAUUGGAUUGUUAUUUCUUUUAGUAUGAUUGUUUUAUAAAAUUGAUGAAUGUUAGAAAAAUGUUGGAACGAAAUUAUUUGGCUUUAGCAAAAAUGUUUAAAGAAUUAUGUAAGAAUAUUAUGGUUAUGAGAAAUUGGUAAAAAUAAGAUUUAAGUUUUAAGUUUUAAGGUUUUCAUAGUAAGAUAAGAUUAAAAUAGAUUAAGGUAAAGCAAUGACAGAAUAUUAUGAAAUAUGGAAAGGAUUUGCUGUGACAAUUAAUAAUCAGGAUACAAAAAAAGGGAGGAGGAGGAGGUCAAAGAAAGAAGGUAAUGACUGUUAAAGAUAUGAGAAUAUUGGAUUUGUUUUUAAAUAUUUGUGGUAUAUUUUUGUUUUUUAAUUGUGUCGUGUUAUUUUUUGAUUUUGAUUUUUAUUAAUCUGUAUUGUUUGCCUGUGGUUUGUCUUUUCUUUGUCUUUUCUUUCUUUUUUUCUUUUUUGUUCUCUUUUGUAAUUUUAAAAUUUUCAAUAAAUAUCAUUAAAAAAAAAAGAGAGAAUAAAGUUUGCAUUUGUUUGCUUAGUCUUUGUUGGAUGAAAGCUUCCAAUCCGGGUGUUUGAUCUGGUCAUCAGCUGCCAAUAUGUGGAAGGCCUUGUCUGUGCAAAACUUCCUGUCAAAUUCUCAAGUAACAUAAGGUUCUGAAUGAAAAAGAAGAGGGAUUAGUGAAAAGCCUAAAAAUACUGUGUGUAACAUAAAGCCAGGCUGUCAACAGUAAAUGACCAACGCCUUCCCCUAAGCCACUUCAGACUUUGUUACUUCAUUCAGCAUUUUCUUCAAAAUUAUGCAGGGAACAUUUUCUUUAAAGUGGGGAGUGCAAAGAAAGGCCAGAAGCAGAAUGGGAUAUUUAAUAUGCAGUUGUACUAGUCUUUUCCAUGUGAUAAUACCAGCCAUUGUUCAGAUCAGGCUCCAGUGACAAAGUGCAUUACACUUUUGAGCCUCUUGUAGUUUUUAAUAUAAACUUUCUGGGAUAAGGAGUGCUUGAAAAGUUAAUAGCAAGGCAUGAGAGGAUCUUGGUAUUGAGCAAAAUGUCCUUUCUAAUGGAAGAGGAAGGCCUACAUUUCAUAAAAUCUCUUGUACCCAAAACAAGUUGUUCAGCAACAAUGUGAUGGAUGUUUCUUCCAUAUAGGCAGAGAGGCUUCAGAGUACAUGUUAGAAGUCUUCUAUUCUUCUUAUUUCUUUUGUCCCUGCAUUUCACUUCAAUGCUCACUUAAAAAUGUGGAAAUUUCUAUUUUCUUAUAAAUAUGUUAUCUUUCUGUGGUAUGGUUAUAAUUAAAAUCUUAGAAGUAAAGUGCUUGGAAUUUAAAAAGAUACAUUUCUGCUGCUGUUUCUUUCACAUUUACUGGAGUUGACGGGAGGGUGUUCCACAUGGUGCAUGCGACUACAGAGAAGGCCCUCUUCUUGGCUCCUUGUAACUUCAUUUUUCACAUUGAGGGAACUGCCAGAGGGCCCUUGGAAGUGGACCUCAGUGUCUGGGCUGAACAAUGGGGAUGGAGACACUCCUUCAGGUAUACAGGGCGGAGGCCGUAAAGGGCUGUAAAAGUCAGCACCAACAUUUUAAAUUGUGCUUGGAAAUGUAUUGGGAGCCAGUGAAGAUCCUUUAGGACUGGUGUUAUAUGGUCCCAGUGGCCACUCCCAGUCACCAGUCUAGCUGCAGCAUUCUGGAUUAGUUGUAGUUUCUGAGUCAUCUUCAAAGGUAGCCCCACGUAGAGUGCAUUGCAAUCGUCGAAGCGGGAGAUAACCAGGGCAUGUACUACUCUGGCGAAACAGUGUGCAGGCAGAUCGGGUCCCAGCCAGAAUCCCAGAUGGAGCUGGUAGAUAGCUGUCCUGGACACAAAGUUAACCUGCACCUCCAUGGACAGCUGUGAGUUCAAAUUGAUCCAAAAGUUGCAUGCCUGAUCUCUUAAUGACACAGUUACCCCAUUCAAGACCAGGGAGCCCACCCCGACCUGCCUACCCUGCCCCUACAAACAGUACUUCUGUCUCGUCAGGAUUCAACCUGAACCCGUUGAUUAUAUAAAGCAAAUUUGCCACAAGUUGUAUCAGAAAUAGCUGAUAUAUGUAUUAAGCACCACUGGAAUUCUUUGUUAUGUAUUGAGAGGUAAACAAAGAACCAAAGAAAAGAGAAUGAUUAAAUAUGAUCCGAGAGCAAUUAAAGAUAGUAAAAUGAACAGCCUUGAAAAAAUGGGCAGUGGAAUGGCAAAAGCUGAUGUAAAGUUGUAAGCUAAGUAUUGAAUACUAAAUUGUUUUUAUAUCUGAACUGGAUUUGGAAUUUAUUAGAUGGAAAAUUUUGAAAAUUAUUGUUUGGUUCCAUGUUGAUAUGCCCUUGGUGUUUGUAUAUUUUUUUAUACUAAUAUUUUAGUAACUUCACAAUUAAAUGCUAUUCAAAUUAUGAUCUUAAUAAACAAUGUAUUUUAAAAGAAAGUAAUUCUCAUAAACUGCAGUCAAUAUCUGCUUUCCUGUUUAGGUUUCCAAAUCAGGCACCUCCUGUCUCAGAGAGCCAACUGUUAACAUUAUUUAGAUGUCUCAAAGUGUUUAACGAGGGAUUGGAUGGCCCAGUACAUCAGUGGAUAGAAUCACUUUAUACGCACUGCUUUCCCCCUUUUGUCUGAGUGUGAGAAAACUUUCAGAAUAAUUCUUUACCCCAAGGGUAUUUCUAGAUUGCUGGUACUGCCAAUACUUUCCUCAAUCUUUUGUUGAACAGUAAAGCGGCUCUGUUCUUUUUAUUGAGAAGUGUGCUAGAAUUUCACCUGCCACUUAAAUGCAGAUAAAUGCUUUUGUUUAGAAAAGUUUGUUUGAAAAAGUGGUUGAAAGUGAAAUGAAUUAUCUCUGAGGUGUUUGGUGUGUACACACCCACACCCACACACACAGAGGCAACUUGAUAUUGUGGGAAAGCUUCAAGCACCUUCCGAGAUGGCAAAUAAAAAGAGAGAUACUGAGGUUCAAUUAAUCUUGCUCACACUCAGGUAUAUGAUUUGUGUAGUGUGUCUUAAUGUACUCUGCUGUGAAAUGGCUGAUAACCCUCACCAGCUGAAGGUGGGCUUUUUUCUUGUUCUUGGCAGUGUGAUUCUCACCCGUAGAAAUCUGUGAACAAUCUGGAGUGUUCUUAAAUGCUGUCACAUGGAAGAGGGAGCAUGCUUGUUUUCUCCCGCUCAGGAGGGUAGAACUUGAACCAAUGGCUUCAAGUUACAAGAGAUCAGCUGUUUGAAAAGGCAUGACUUGGUUGUCUUUUUAAUUCGUUUUUUAAAAAAAUGAAUUCAUAUAACAUUUUCAGGCCACAAGGCCUGCUUAAUUUUUUUUAAAAGAAGGGACAGGAUCUUGAAAUUUAGUCUUCCUUGGACCUAGUUCUCACUGAUGUUGUAGACUUGUGUCUAUGCUGCAUCACCUAAAAAUUACAGAUGGGACUUAAUAAUAGAAUUGUAGAGUUGGAAGGGACCACAAGGGUCAUUUGGCCCAACCCCCUGCAAUGCAGGAAUCUUUUUGCCCAGCGUGGGGCUCAAACCCAUAACCCUGAGAUUAAGAGUCUCAUGCUUUACCGGCUGAACUAUUAUAUUAAACUUUGGGACAUUCCAUCAUGCAACAGGAGCAGGUAGCAACAGGAGGAGUUUGGAAUGUUUCACUUCUAUUUUUGCUUAAUCACAGUUUUAUCAUGCUGUCCAAAUCAACAAACUGCAGUUCAUGUUGAUUAUGGUUUGGUUUGUGAUAAGCCAGUUCAAAAGCCAGGUUUAGCAUGUUGUCCACUACAUACCCUGUAUAUAGAAAACUUGAUGUCAUAGAAGGAAGGGUUUAAGAUCCAGGAGGAAAGUAGAAGAUCAUUUCAUCAUGUGAACCAAGUGGGACAGCCCAGAUACUGGUUUACCAACUCAUUGAGAAAUAGAUCUUAAUCGCAGUACAGUUCUCUAAACUUUGACUCUUCCAUUUCUACAAACUUCUUCUUCUUCUUCUUCUUCUUAUUAUUAUUAUUAUUAUUAUUAAGUUGUUGGCUCCCACCAAGUCACAGUGACUUCCACUGCCACAACAGGACUUCCUCUCCCCUCAAACCUGCUCUCUCAGAAUAGGGAGGGCUGCAGGGGGUAGCAUAGUGAGAGAGAAGGGAAGUCCCAUUGCACAGGUAGUAGUAGUAAUUCUACUACUACUACUACUACUAUAUUUGUAGCCCGUCCAUCUGACUGGGUUGCCCCGAGAUAAAAGGCCUUGUGCUAAUUUAUUUAUUUUUAAAUAUUUUAUUAAGGAUUUUCUUGUUUUACAGAAGUAAGUGUAAUGCCUCGUAUUUUUUUUCCCUGUGUAACAUUUUUACAAAUCCGUUUCAUUUGUUGAGGCAUUAGGGGGAGAAGAAAAAAAGGAAAAAAGAAAGGGAGGUGGAGAGAGGGAAGAUGGAUGGGGGUGGGGUCAGGUGGCGGUGUUUCUAUUAUGUUUAAUGUAUGUAGAGUUUGGUGUCAGCGUUGCUUGUGUUGUUCACUUGUGUUCCUUUGGUGGUGAGAGAGGUUGGGGUUGGCCUAGGGUGUGAUUGUUUGCUUGUGAUUGGCUGUGGUGAUCUUUGUUUUCGUGUGUGAGUGAGGUGGGUGGGUGUUUUGGAUCAGGUUAGCCAUAUUGAUUUGUAUGCUGUUGGUGGAUUAUUGUCAUUGUCCUGUUGGGCUGUGUAUGUGAUAAAGGGAGCCAUACCGGGGUGAAGGCGUCUUCUUCUGUUUGUCCCCGUGUCAGUUUCAGUUUAUUAGUUAAUUUUUCUAGUAGGGCUGUUUCCCAUACUAUUUGGUACCAUUGGUCCAUGUUUACUCCUGACAGGUCUCUCCAGUGUCUGGUUAUGGUGUUUCUGGCUGCUGAAAGUAGGUGGGUUAUGAGUUCUUUGUGGUGUAAAUGGGCAUUGUUGUCUUGGAAGAUGUUUAGUAGGGCCAAUUCUGGGGUGAUGUCUAUUACUUGCUUAGUUAUUUUACAUACUUCUUGUAUGGCUGUUGUCCAGAAUAGUUGGAUUUUGGGACACUCCCACCACAUGUGGAGGUAUGUGCCUGUGGAGGUGCACCCUCUCCAGCAUUUUGGUGAGGUUCCUGGGUGUAUUAGCGCUAGUUUCCUUGGUGUUAGGUACCACCUGUAGGUGAGUUUCAGUGUGAGUUCUUUUCUUUUCGUUGAUAUGGAUUUAAAGGGGGUUUAGACCACAUUCUGGUCCAUUGCGUGGGGUUAAUCUCAUAGCCUAUGUCAUUCUCCCGGUGUUUUUUGCUGGCAUCUAGGGAUUUGCGGGAUUUUGGAGUAGUAUUUUGUAUAUUGCGGAUACCGUCCCUUUACCGUUUCCCUUUGUUGUUAGGAGGAGGUUUUCGAAGGUUGUCAGGGGCCUAGUUGCUGCUGAUUUUACUGUUGGGUUCUUUAAGAGGGCAUGUAGUUGGUGUUGUGUUAACCAGGGCAUUUGGGUGUCUUCUAGUUUGUCUUGUAUUUCUUGUGUUGACAGUUAUUUUUAUAAAAGUCUAUUAGGCGAUAUAAGCCUUUGGUUUGCCAGGUUUUUAUCUGGAGGUUUUGUGCUGCAUGGUGGAAUAAUGGGUGGUACGCCAGGGGGAUUAGUGGGGAUGGGGUUGGGGAUAGUUUGCCCAUUUGUGUUUUCCAUGCUUUGAGCAUGGUCUGUGUGUACCUGUUAAGUGUUGUGGGAAUUUUCUUUAGUUUGUUUGGGAGGAGUGGGUAUGUUGUGGUGCAGGUAUUUUCAAUUGUGUCCCUCUCUAGGUGUACCCAUUGUUUUGUCUCAUCUUCUAGUAUAUAUGGGAUUAUAUGGCGUAUUUGGUUGGCAGGCCUUGUGCUAAUUAAUGGAUGACUUUGUUAGGUAUAACCAUUCAUUUAUUUUUAUUUAUUUGUUUUAUGGGUCAACUUUUUAUGAAUUUCAAGGCGACUUACAGCUAUGCAAUAAAUCAUGAAAAGUAGAUUUUAAAACAAUGCAACUUCUCCCACAGAUAAGUUUAAAAACAAUGCAAAUAAACAACCAGGGCAGAGACCUAAAUCCGCCCCCCUCAAGCUUUGAAAAGCUUGUUGACAUAAGGAUGUUUUUAGUUAUUUCUGGAAACGACAAAUAGUGGUAUCUGUCAGAUUUCAACAGGGAUGCUGUUCCACGAUACAGGGUCAGCUACACUGAAAAGGCUUGUUCCAAGUUGCUAUGAAGGGGACUUCUGAUAUUUUUUGGUUGCUUAUUUUUAAAAAUGGCAUGUAAUAAUAACAAUAAUAAUUUAUACCCCGCCCAUCUGGCUGGGUUUCCAUCUGGCUGUGUUGUACAUAUGUUAUGUGUCAGGGAACUGCCAUCGGAGCUGGAGGCGGAGGGAAGGCUCCAGAGGGAUGGCGGAGAGGGUUCCAGUAGGGAGAGAGGCAGCCCGUCCGCUGGGGAAGGAAAUCAGCGUAACACCAGUAGAGAAGGGGGGCAGAUGGGGGAAUCGGAGAGGAGGCUCCAAGACUCCUCGCCGGAGACCAGCGGAGAGAGUACGGGUACUCCGCUGCCCACACCCUCCCUGCGCAGAAGACUUCCGCGCAGGGAGAGUAGGAGGAGACUUGGCGUCAAGGAACUUUUGUGCUGGAAGAAGUUUAAGAAACACCCACUGACGGAUUCUGCCAGCGACUGAGACAGUCACGAUGCUGGAGGCUGUUCAGUCAGAAAGGGUUUAACCAGGUAACCUAGCCAGGAGUGGCGGCAACUUACGCACGAGCAACCCCUAAACCCAUUACAUUAUGCAUAUGUUAUGCAUCUGUACUACACAACUACAGAAGGCCUGUUUAUAUUUCAUUUUAGCAUCAGCUACUUCCUCCUAUUUUAAUAGGGUACUUUGCUGACUUUCUUUUGGUCAGAAAGGAUAAAUAUAGCAUAGUAAUUUAUUUUGUUUUUCAUAAUAAGAGCAGAAUUAGUUAAAGCUGCUGUGAUUGUUUCACCAAUACAUAGGCUUAUUUAUAAUUUCUAGUUGGUAUUUUAAACUUCUUACGAUCAAAUCAGUAAACUUAAUUUGAAUUUAUUAUAUUUUCUCAGAAAUGUAUACUACUGAAAAAAUAUAGGUUCAUUAUGCUCUUAGUAGUAUCUUCAUAGAUUUAUUUUCUACCGUCCUGCCAAAGUAGCAUAGUGCAGCAAACAACAAAUAAUAAAACAAUACAAUUGAAAAUAAAAUAGAAACACAUUUAAAAACAUCUUCACAACAUUAUAAAACAGUAACAUACCUUCAUAGCUAAUACUUUCAGCACUGCCAGAAACAGUAUGUUUUAAGUCACUAAAUGACUCACUGAACAGGAAGGUUUUCCAUUCCUCCUGAAUAUUAACAGGGGAGACAGACACACUUCACCAGGGAAGACAUUCUACAAAUGGGGAUUGGCUACUGAGAAGGCCCUGACCAAGCAACACCUGGUGGCACUGCUACCUACAGGGCCUCUCCUGUCAGUCAUAGGACCCAAGAUGGUUGGUAUAAGGAAGGAGGCCUUUAGAUACUUUCAUUUCGUUUAAAUGAGGUUAUAAGCCUGAAAAUGUCCGACUGAAGUGCAGCACAUUUUUAAAAGUGUGGUUUGUUUGAAUGCCCAGACCCAGCCAAGCCCAUGGUUUGCUUCCUGGCAACAAAUUACAAUGUGAGGGCAAGGCUUGUUUUAUUUAGAUUUGGUGUUUGGUUGAAAUGGAACAGCCUGGCAUAGCUUUGGUUAGUUCGGCCAUCCAUCCUUCCCAAGCUACAGAGCCAGUAGCAACUGGAGAACAAAUCAAGGUUUGGAGAAACAAACCAUGGCAUGUUUGCUCAUCUGUGAGACAACCUGUGGUUUGUUAAACAAGCCAUGGCUUAGUCAAGUGUGAAUGCAGCUGAUAUUAAUUUGCAGCCAUACUCAGGAAAACAAAUGCUUUCCAUCACAGAAAAACAUAGGUAUGCAGAAAAUUUUACACCCAAACAUCUGCCUAAACACACAGCAUUUUCCUUGGAAGGUGGUAGCUCUGAUGGUCCUCCUUACAAAGUUGUAGCAACACAACUAAGAGAACACAUCUUGAUUUGCAGUACUGAAUUGUUUCAUGCAGAUGAUUCCCGGGGUGAGAGAUGUUACCAAGCAGGGGACUUCGAUGAACUGAGACUGUGAAGAAGUCUACCUGCCUCCUUAAUGCCCCCUUUUGUUGCCCCUUAUGUGGAAUGAUCUCUUUGUUAGAUGGAGCAAGCUGAAUCACCACUGCCUGGGACCUCAACAAGCUAUGCUUGAGAGAAACAAGGCAAAGAGCAAAAACUCUGAUCAUGGCCUAUAGGUGGUGCUAUAAUAAAUAGAAUAUGCCGUAAUCCUAUCACACUGUCCACUUAUUUUGGGACACCUUUAUGUUUGACUCAAACCAAGUAUUCUUUAUUACUAACUCUGCCCAUUAUUAAUUGCAUCCAUGUAAAAUUUAAAUUAAUUUACUAUGGUGAUCAUAAAACCCCCCGUUUUUGCACUGACUGCUAUACUUACCCUGAUGUACCAUUACUACUACUACUAAUAAAUUAUUUAUACCCUGCCCAUCUGGCUGGGUUUCCCCAGCCACUCUGGGCGGCUUCCAACAAAGUAAAUAAAAAAUACAAUACAACACAAUCAACCAUUAUUUACCCACUUACAUUCUAGAGUGUGCUGCAUAAUUGUGGCCCGUAGCCAAGUUCUGUAAUACAGCCACAUAUUCCUCAGUGUUAAGCACACACACUUGAAGGACUUCACAGUGGGAACUUAUGAACCUGUGACACCUAUUUAAUGAGUUGAAAAGACAGAUUUGGUAUCAGACUAAGACCCACAGAAGAUCUGCUGCACUAUAGGUUUAUUGGAGAAGAUGAUGAUAGAAAACCCCUUGUGGUGGCCAACAGUUCCCAGAUGAAAUUGCUCAGACACAUCCUAAAUAACAUACAGUUUAAAUAACAUACAGAAUAAUGGUUUAUUCAAACAGUAUGUCUACAGGGAUCAAUCAUUUUUUUCAAAAAGGGAAUAUAUGAAAAGUAGUAGGGGGGCUAUUUUAGUUGCACAUAACAAAAAAAUAAUAAUACAAGGCCCAGAUACAGUAAGUUGAAAAAAUGAAAAUCCUUAUUGUUAUUAUUGACAUUUUGUGCAGCAUCAAGAAGAUCAGAAGUAUUUUUUUUAACUUCAAAACAUAGUUUUGUCCUGUUUGAAAGAAAUACUGUGAAUACAAGUUACAUUUAGGGUAUGCAUUGCAUCCAUACUUCAUAUAUGCAUGAUCCCGAUUUUUUUUUUGGGGGGGGUUAAGUUAAUUAAAAUAGACUUUAAUGUGGUACACAUGAUAGCUUUUUUCCCCUUCUCAUUUUAAUGUUUCCUCAUCUUUAAUACCUAUUACUAUAAAUUUCAACUGCCAUAUUAUUGUUUGGUGCAAGGUGAUCUUAGAACUAAUAAUGCUUAAAAAUGUGUAUUUAUUAAUUAACUGGGAGUGUUCAGGAACAAUGUCUGAUUCUGGCUUCAUUUAUUAACUGACAUAAUUUUGCCCAGCCCUUCAGUUGAAGAGACCCACCAAGGCACCUAACAGUAAUUCUUAAAACACACGUAAGACCUGUUUGACAGUGGAACAGACUCCCAUGGAAGGUUGUGGACUUUCCUUCCUUGGAGACUUAUAAGCAGAGGUCAGAUGGCCAUCUGUCAUGGAUGCUUUAGCUGAGAUUCCUUCAUUGCAAGGGGUUGGACCAGAUGACUCUCAGGGUGCCUUCCAACUUUUACAGUUCUAUAAUUCUGUGAUAAAUAACAUACCAUUAAACACAGUAAAAACCUCACAAACCAUAAAACGAAGAAGUACUUUUAGUUGAAUUCCCCAUAUCUGAAGAUUAUGCCUCCAUGUAAAUAAUUUUUAAAAUGUAGGGUUUUGAAGUUUUUUAUGCUGCAGCUCAUUGUGUGCAAAUAUGUGUUUGUGAGUCUCUUGUUAAAAUCAUGAUGAAUUACAACAUUUCCCCCAUUAUAACAGUUUGAAAAACUGGUGGCUAUCGCCAUGAUUUUCUGUAGUACAAUAUACAUUAUCCUUAGGAUUUACAGUAAUCUCAUAUUAGUUUUAUUCUGUGAUUAAACUGCAACCAUUAUACCUGGCAUUAAUGCUACUCAGUGAUGAAUUCUGCUUCUACAGCAGUUGCUUAUUCUAAAAAGAAAUGCAAAUCAGUGUUAGUGAUAGAAGAUAAACUUCAUGAAACUCAAUUAAUUUAGACAAUGAAACAUGCGUUUGGAUAUAAAUAAUAAAAUACAUUUGAGGAUAUGGGAAGAGAAUGUAGGAGUGCCUCCUAACCAAGCAAUCACAUGGGCAUUGUUUGUAAGGGUUUUUAUUUAAAGCUGGGUUUGUAUAGUUCUGAGCACACAGAUGUUCCUCUUGGCGUUCUUACAGUAUUAGCUAGUAUAGAGAUUGUAGUAGCAUAGAAUGUGAGUCUCUUUGCUGAAGACAAAGUGCUGCCUGUGGUGGGAACUGCUGCAGAGAUGGGAAUGUAGCGUAAUGUAUUGUUUUAGUUUUCUGACUUUCCCCCCACUCCAGUGGAGACUGUACAUUUAAAGUAGUUUUGUGAGCAGUGGAUUGUUUCAUCCAAGCCUGGCUAAUAACAUACUCCUCCAGCAGACAGUCUUACGAGGUAUGCUUCACAUAGUUAGCAUAGUCAUGUGGCUUGCUUCAAUUCUAGGUAUCAAUGCCGUUUCUGUGCGUUUCAAGAUUUAACAACAUGAAUUACAGGAGUUUUGACCCUAGAGGUGGAAUAGAAUCUCUUCUUGAAAAAUAAUAAAAAAGAGCCACACAAUAAACAUCUAUUCUUUGUAACUGUAUAGGCUACCACUUCCCAGAGGCUUGGAGUAAGUAUCCACAAAAUUAGAAAAGGACAAAAGAUCUUGGGGGUACACCCAGUAGUGCUUGAGUCAACAGCAGUUUACAUAACAAAUCUUUCUCUGUUCCUCUGAAGUUACCUGUACCCUCUCCAGAAAGUUGGAUAGAGGACCUACCAGACAACUGUGGGUUUUGUUUUGCAGGGCUGUAGUGGAAGGAGAAACUAGGAGCUUUGUUUGUGUGGUGCAAGAUUCCUCCCACCUCGCAUGAGGCCCUGCAAAAUGCAGCUCACAAUGUUCACUAGGUCUUCAGGCCCUUGGGAAAGCUUUUCAGGGGGGUGGGGGUGAGAAGGGCAAGAUUGCUUGCAUGAGCUGCCUUCUGCACAUGCAACAUUGGAUGUAACCACGAAUCCCAAUUUUAAAUCCAAUGUAAGAAAGCUUAAAACCUCAAACUUUGAAACUGCUAACCUGCUGGAUUCACCAUUGUCGCUGAAAAAGUUGAAAUAGAAAGGACUUAACAGUGUUUAGGAGUGUGUGUGGCAGAAAUGCAUCUUGCUUAAUACAGUACAGGAAUGUGCAGUCUUAUGUAUUUGGACCAUAACAAUUUUUGGGUUGUGUGGGUCAAAAAUAGCUCUUGAUUUGAACCUAGAAGACAAGAUAAAUAGGGAACCAAUGUAAAUGUUGACAGACUAUUGUUGUAUGCUCCUGGUAGCCCAGCUUCCUGUAUCAGGAAAGUAGUCUGUUGUAACCUGAGCCUCUGGGAGCACCAACAUAGCUCUGAACUUACAUGACCAAAGGAAGCUGAGCCAUAUCAUUGGUGGGAGUCCCUAUCAUCACUAUGCUCCCUUGUGUGAGACCUGAUUCUGUUGAAAUUCAGGUGUGAGAGAUGCUGAGGAACAAACCCAUUCAUUUGCUGAAAUUUCAGCUUAACAGCAGCCUUGAACUACACUGCAGAAUACAGACUCCUCUUGUCAGUUCUGUACCUCAGAUAGCAUGUCAUUCUUUUUCUUUUCAAGGUGCAAACCACUGCAGUAAUCAUUACGCUCCCUCAGAAUGGGACUUUUAAGAACAGACAAUCCACGGACUUGGCUAAUGAAAUACAGUAGCUAGUUACAUUAAAAAAAAGAAAACUGCAUGAAAUUUGAAAACAUUUGUAAAACGGCAGCUUGAUGUCUUGUUGCCUUACAUUCUCAUUGUGAAGUUGUGCUUUAUUUAUUAUUCUCAAGGUACUUACAAUAAGAUAUACAAUAAAACAACUAAAAAUAGGUUUAAAAACAGUUUGAAUGAACACACAAAGCAACUUGCAUUACUUUUCAUCCAACUGAAAUAUUAUUACAUUCAGAGUGGUAACAAAUAAAAUGUUUCCCACAUUAUUAUUGUUAAAUAGUAAUGAGAGGCAAAACAUACCCUUGGAUUCAGUGAAAUAUUUUCAGGUUUCACAGAUCUUACACUGGGAAAGGUUUGCAUAUUGUUACAUAUCUGCUUGCACACACUGGCUGCUAUGGGGAGAAUUAUGGUUCAGCCCAUUAUUUUUUAGCAUUUUGCAACUUCAUCCUCUAGAACCAGAAGAUAAUAUGGGGUACAGAAAGAUGUCUUGAUGUAAGCUGGCUAUUGUGACAUUUAAGGGCUCUUGGCAUGCAUGCUUGCUUGCUUGCUUGCUUCUGUCUUUUUGCUAUUCAAGCCCUGAUGCUUGACAAGAGGCACCCGAAAAGUAUGUAAACCUUAUGGUACUGGAAACAUAUGGCUGGGAGAGCAAGGAAGAGUUAUUUUGAUGUUAUGCAUAGAUGUGCAGGUACUUCAGACAGUCUGAAGGAAAGAGACGGUUAUCUCCUGUCACUGUCCUUUUGAGAUGGCGUUUCAUCUCAAAUUAGGUGAUAAAUUCUAUAAUACUGCCUUGAAAGGUGACUGGCAUUAACUAUUUUUUAUGACAUAAUCACAUGCGAUACAAGUUUUGCGAUGACAGGAGUUACUUUUCCUGAGUUUCAGUUGUCAAAUUCUUCUGCGUUUUGCCACAAUGAAAAGGUUACAGAUUUCAUCUUUGAUUUGAAAGGAAAUGUAUAUAAGUCCCACAGGGAGGCAGAUAUGCCUUAAAAAAGAAGAGAAAGGUGAUUCCCCACCCCCAUCCCCUGGAAAAAAAUCUCUCUAGAUGCAACAUUCUACAGCACACAAGUUUUUCAAUGGGCAGCAGCAACAGUAUACAGAUUAUUGUUGAAAAACUUUUUAUUAAAAGAGAGUUUGCAGCCUAGAAUGCUUUAUUUAUGUAUUUUUAAAAUAAAUUUAUUUUUAUUGAUAUUAGUCAUACUCUCAGAACAAUUGAAAUCAAUUGUCUUAGGAACAUUGAUUUUAGUGGAUCUACUCUUGAGUAUGAUUUUGUUUGCUAUCACCCUAUGCCAGGGAAGGAAAACCUCUGGUCCGUGGGCAAAAUGUUCAACCAGCCACCCCACUACCUGUCAUCAUAAGACAUCACGUGUGAAACAGGUUAAAGUUGCAGCAGCAGGUGUGCAUUCCUGAUUGUUUCUUCACAUCAGGGCUUACAUUCAGUGCUAUUUAAAUCUGGUGCUGAGUCUAAGCACUGCUAAGAUUGGUUCCUCUCAGGAGCUCCUGGCUGAAGUCAAUCCCUACUGAAAGCUUUUUAAAUAUAGCACCCAAUGCAGGCUCCUCUGCUUUCUGGUGGGCACAGAUUCACCUGAUGCCAAAUGGUAUCAAGUUAGUGUGGAUCUGCCAACGUGUCAAAAGUGGCCUGCUGCAGAAGCCAUGCAGAUUUUUCUUUCAUACGGCUUGUUCUUUUAUACAGUUAAUUCUUUUAGUUUUAAUGUUUUCAACAGUGUGCUUGUUUUAUAGCACUUAGAUUAGCAAAUCUGUAAUUUUCUGAAUCCCACAUGGGCCUUUCUUUUUUAAAUGGUAUUAUUUUGUCCACCUUCCAGUACUUUGGGAAGGAGAUUGGCUUUGUGUACAUUUGAAUGAAAAUGACGUGUAUAAUGCAAACUCACCCCCUUUCUACCAUACAAAAAGCUGUUCCUAGAAAAUAAACAAUUCUGCAAUAAUAAUUAUUUAUUCUCAGCUGUCCUAAAAAUCAGAAUAUCUCAUCACAGGAAAUCCGACUGAAGUGUGUUCUGUUGCAUGCCUGGCUGUUUAUCUGGAUUGGGGAGAGAAACCAAAACAUCCUGUGAUAACACUCAUCUUGACUUGUAUAUUGAAUUUUCCUGAACCAGUAUGGCACUCUCCAGAUAUUGGGAAAUCAUCACCGACCAUUAGCCAUGCGGGAUGGAGCUGCUCAACAGUAUAGCCCACAAUGUGUAGUGAGCAAUACAUAGGCUACCCCUACACUGGAGACUCCAUUGUGGCCUGUUUAUGACAGUUGUUUUAGGUUUUGAAUACUACGUUAUAAAUUCAACUGUACUGUAUAACUGUAUUGGAAGCCCUGAUGAUCAGCAAAACAAAGCAAAAAUUUUAUAGUGGCUUGGCUUGCAACAGUAACUAACAACUAGUUCUUCCAACUAGUUGUAGUAAGAGUUCUCUCACUAAUUAGGUCCAUUCCUAAUUUCAAGGCUAUGACAGGUGUUAGUGGGAUGAGGUGUCUGUAAUAGCCAGGAAGCUCCAGUUAUAAAGAAGUACCAGUAAGUUUUUUUUCUAGCAUGAGUCCAUACCCAAACAGAUGAUGGGUCUCUUCGCUUCAGUGUGCUUUGCAUUCAUCAUGUCAAAGCCUUAGCACAGAGAAUUCCUUCUAAGAAAGCAAAGCAAUUUCUAGAGAGAAUUGGCACAUGCUAAGGAAUGCCUAUAGGGGGAAAUGUAAAAAAGUAAAAAUAAAAAUCUCCAAGUGAAAAGCUUUCAAAUCACCCCCUCAUGCAGAAUUGCAAAAUCAGAUUUAAUUGCUCUCUUUCUAUCCUGUUCAGACAAGCAGGCUCCUUUGGGUGCAUAGUAAAUGAGAGUCUUCAAGGCAAAAACUAAUAUUUGUUUGGCUCCGGCUAUCGCAAAAAAAUUAAGCGAGGGAAAGUGCAACUGGCAGUCAGAACUGAACUUUUCACAUGCUAUACUUUAUUUGCCAUUUCAAUCUUUUAAUGAUGAGAUUUCUCCUUUCUUGUAAACAUAGAGGAACUUGGUGGUGGCAGAACCUAGGAUAACAAUAGAAUGUUUCCAGAUAUAGCUUGCAUUGACUGAUCAAAAUAUCAGGGGUCAGCAAACUUUUUCAGCAGGGGGCCAGUCCACUGUCCCUCAGACCUUGUGGGGGGCUGGACUAUAUUUGGUGGGGGGAGAACAAAUUCUUAUACCCCACAAAUAACCCAGAGAUGCAUUUUAAAUAAAAGUACACAUUCUACUCCUGUAAAAACACACUGAUUCCCUGACCAUUUGUGGGCCAGAUUUAUAAGGCGAUUGGGCCGGAUCUGGCCCUGGGCCUCAGUUUGCCUACCCAUGCAAUAUAGCCUUCAGUUAUAUGGCUCCUUGUUACUGUUACCAGUUCUACAAGGUGACCAGGAAGGAGACAGUGAUGUACUGCAGCAGUCAGGAGAGAGAUGCACACACACAAAAGCCAGACUAAGUUAAAUGGAAACUCUUGAAAUUGGAUAUUUUCUCCAUAGUUCCCCCCUCUCUCAAACCACCAUCAAAUCACAGAUCUCAUGUCUCCAUUGACUGAACCCUAAAAUUAUGGCGCUGGUACUUUCUAGUGCUGUCACAACACAAAAACAUGAAUCGAAAGCAUAGGACCCUCAUAAUUUUUACGAGGGGUCCUCUCAGAUUAUAGGCCACAGAUGUGUUCUGUGAUUUCAUGUUUGUUUUAUUGUCAAACUAUAUAAAAAACACGAGGCUCCAUGAGGAUCUGUACCUUGGGUGACAAGCACCACAACAAAAUAGCUUUUCAUUUGAAGCAGUUUAUUGAAGAUCACAAAGGAUAAGGUAAAGGUAAAGGGACCCUGACCAUUAGGGGUCGUGGCGCUCAUCUCGCUUUAUUGGCUGAGGGAGUCGGCGUACAGCUUCCGGGUCAUGUGGCCAGCAUGACUAAGCUGCUUUUGGUGAACCAGAGCAGCGCACGGAAACGCCGUUUACCUUCCCGCUGGAGCGGUACCUAUUUAUCUGCUUGUACUUUGCCGUGCUUUUGAACUGCUAGGUGGGCAGGAGCAGGGACCGAGCAAUGGGAGCUCACCCCGUCGCGGGGAUUCAAACCGCUGACCUUCUGAUCGGCAAGUCCUAGGCUCUGUGGUUUAACCCACAGUGCCACCCGCAUCCCUAUAUCUUACAGUAAAUGAAAGAAUUCAACACAGUUCAUUAUUGCCAAAUUUAAAAUGCCGUAUUUGAGAAGAUGUAAGUACAGAAAGUGCUGAACAUUUUUUCCUUUUUCUCACCAGGAAAUAUCAGAAGGGAUCCAAAGUCCGGCUGAGACUUACUGACCUUGAACUUUCGUCUAGAUUCUUGGGAGCCAAAACAGACACAACUUUACUGGAAGCUGAAGCAGUACUCUUGGGACUUGUGGAAAGCAAAGAAAAUAGACAAAAAUAGCAAAUGCUAUUUCCCCUCCCAAAAACCCUCAAUAUAGAUUCACUCCUGACUACAUUUUAGCAAAUCUAGGUAGUUAUUUGAUUUGUGCAGCACUUUUAGUUUUUUUGUGAUGGCUUGGCUAAGCAAUAAAGAUUUGAAUUGAAUUAAAAUGUUGAAACCAUUCUUCCACUUCUGUUGCCUAAUUGAUGCAAGUAAAUAUAAAUUAAAAAGAAACAAUCUUAGCAAAUUUGGUUCUGUAAUAUCUAUUUCCCUUCUGUUGUCUCCAUACUAUUAAUUGUUUAUAUUAAUUCUAUUUUGUAUUCACAUUUAAUCCAAGAAAGAGGUAUAUUUCACCGUAUCUGAUUAUAUGACAAAACAGCAACACAAAUUCAUGACAGAUGAAAUAUGAAGUUUUCUGAUUAAAGAGUGAACUGUUGAAUGUCUUAAACUCUGAAGCUUCCAGAGUGACAACCAACUGGCUACAUUCUGAAGGCCAAUGCACACUACCACCCCAACUACUACUUGACCUCAAACUUGCUGUUUGCAAAUAGCAGUGGGGGUGGAGGGAGGUCAGCAGGAAACUGGUGCAGAAGCACUUUCCAAAUCAGCUCAUCUUUCCUUCAGAAUAAAAGCUGCUAGUGUAAGCACAUUUUAUUCACAAUAUUUUAAAUGUAAUGUGUAUUUUGGCCUCCAAGAUAAGUCAGGAAUUCAGUAUAUGCCACUUUUAAAAGGAAUUAUUCAACACUUCCAGUCAUUUCAGUGACGUGUGCUAGGUAAGUUCAUAAUGCAUUUGUGUCUCGUAUGUUGAAUCCCAUUAUACCUAUCUUUCAUAGAAUUACAACAAGUCUUAACUAGAAGCGUAGCAGAGUACAGUGGAACCUCGGGUUACAUACGCUUCAGGUUACAGACUCCGCUAACCCAGAAAUAAUACCUUGGGUUCAGAACUUUUCUUCAGGAUGAGAACAGAAAUCGUGUGGCAGCGGCGCGGCAGCAACAGGAGGCCCCAUUAGCUAAAGUGGUGCUUCAGGUUAAGAACAGUUUCAGGUUAAGAACGGACCUCCGGAACAAAUUAAGUACAUAACCAGAGGUACCCUGUAUAUAAAUUAUUUCUUCCACCUGUAAGACCAGACUAUUGGAAAUGUCCUGUGUAGCUACUCUUGAUCUUCUCUUCAGUAUUUCUGGUAAGUAAAAGAGUAAACUGGAUUUAAGUCCAGCCCAGUUAUCAAGGGUAAUUCUGACUCUAAAAUAAGCUACAGCCAUAACAUAUUUCCCACAGCACGUUCUGGGUAAUAAGAUGCCUUUAAAAAUAACAUGCUUGGAAUGGAGACAUGUUUUAGCAUAUUCUGCAUACCAACCAAUAAUGAGAGGUUGUUUGUCAGAUCGGAAAUGCUCUAAGCCAAAGACAACUGAUCUCUCAUGGUGUUAUUUAUUAGGAGAGCUUCAACAUGAAUUCCAUACGUUACCCUCCGGUUAAAAAACAAAGAGAGAUGGGCAAUACAUUUUCAGGAACCAACAAGUGUCACCAGCAAAUAUUGGGGGAAGGGAGCAGCAACCAGAAAUACUUUUAUGUCCCUGCUUCUUUUAUAUUCCAUACACAAUAUGACAUCCGUACUUCUUUGGUAUGAGCUUUUGGUAUUGCUAGAAAUUAUCAUCCUUCUUGGCUUGUCUGUGAGCUGUUUAGUUAAACACCAAAUGCUGGGCCAGCUUCAGCCAGCAAGUACUGCUAGCAGAAGCCCACGCAAGGACUUCUGCUAGCACAACAGGGCUUUUCCUCCCCCUGUGCCCCCCUGAAAUUGGCUCAGAAUCCCCCCCCCCAGAGUAGUGCAUGGGGGAAGGAGGGGGGGUUCCAUCUGGCAAGUUGAAAUGCUUGUGCUGACAGAAUGAUUGCCACAGUGUUACACUGAAUUCCUCCCCCCAAUACUGUAAUUUUAGUUAGCUACAAUUGUACAUUAAAUUAAAAUUAAUUAUUUUGGAUGUAGGCGAGCUAACCUUGACUCAGAUGCAGAACUGCCCAAUUAAAGCAGGGUUCCAAUGUUUUAAUAAAAUUAAACGAAACCUUGCUUCACCUCAGCCUUGCACCCAGGUCUGGCAAAAUGUUGUAUGUUACAGUGUGAUUCUUUAGAAAUUCUGCAAGUCUAGAAUAUUAUUAACUGGUGAGCGGACCAUACUCUACAGCUGCACUGCUUCCCAGACUGUUUCCAGGCCCAAAUUAAACUGUUGGCAUUAAACUUUAAAACUCUAAGCACUUAGGACCAGGUUACCUGAAAGACCGCCUUCUCCAUACUGUAGGUACCUUGGCAAAUUUUAAUAUCUUCUUUAGAGUAGUACUGCCAGACCAAGUGAGGCAGAUAACCAUUAGGGAAAGGUGCUGUUUUGGUGAUAGUCCCCCCAUUAUGAAACAGCAUUGCCAGAGAGAUUUGCCUGGAACUAUUUUUUAUGGCCUUUCUGGUACCAAGUGAACAUCCAGGCCUUUAAAAUAACUUAUGUUUUACGACCAGGUCCUUAAAAUCUGUGUUUUGUAUGCGUUUUUCAUUUUAACAGUUGUCAUUUUAAUUGUUGUAUUGUUUUGUGAGCCACCUCAGAGAACUUACAGUAUCACUAGCAAGUCCACAAUUGCAUCUCAUUAUUUUACACACCCUUCCCACUUCAAGAACAUGGCUAUGUCUGUGGUUGCUCAUUUAUGACUGCUCAGCAUCAAAUCAGUGGGAAACAUAUUUCUCCAACAAUUAUACCCUGCUUAAUAAAGUUCUUUGGAUUGGGAAUAUGUAGAGACUCUUCUGACCUGUCAGUCACAAUCCAAUAUGCAUUCCCCCCCCCCCCCCCACUAUGAGAUAUUAUUGGUUAUGCAAAUUGAGUUAUGAAACUUACCGAUACGGCUCUGGGUUAAUCAGUGUAACCACAUGUUCAAACAGACUUUGCAAAGUACACCCAGAAUUCAGGUAGACUACUGUGUCCUGAAUGAAGUUGCAUAAGACAUAACGCCAGUGGCUAAAGCUGUGUUUAAAUGAAUUGGAGCAAAUUUUCAUAUGUUGUGGUUAGUGAGGUAGGUCGGUUGAGUACUAGGAGCUAGCAUAGCCGGACAAAAGUAUCCAUGGCUUCAGCAUCACCAACACACACACACACACACACACACACACACACACACACACAAACACCCUGCCACAUUGUUCUGUUUACCAUCUAGUCCAGGGGUCAGCAAACUUUUUCAGCAGGGGGCCGGUCCACUGUCCUUCAGACCUUGGGGGCCAGAAUAUAUUUUGAAGGGGGGGAAAUGAAUGAAUUCCUAUGCCCCACAAAUAACCCAGAGAUGCAUUUUAAAUAAAAGGACACAUUCUACUCAUGUAAAAACACGUUGAUUCCUGGACAGUCCAUGGGCCAGAUUUAGAAGACGAUUGGGCUGGAUCUGACCCCCAGGCCUUAGUUUGCCUACCCAUGAUCUAGCCCGAUGAGUUAUGUAAAACUUGAAAAAAGGCCAUGUAUUUUGUGAUAAGGAAUUACACAGUUAUAUAGUGCAUCGAAGUAAUAAUAUAUAUUUUUUUUUAUUUGUAUCCCACCCAUUUGACUGGGUUGUCCCAGACACUCGGGGUGGCUUCCAGCCUAUAUAAAAACAUAAUAAAACAUUGCACAAAUAAACUUUCAGUUGGUCUGCACUCUGCAGCCUUCCUGGGUGCCUGCACUUCUUGGAAAACCCACAAUGUUCUUGGCUGAGCUACUCUGUGAAUACAGAAGGCAGGGAUGCUAACUACCUUGUGCCUGUCUGCUGUGGUGGUUUUUAAGUGAGCUCUUCACCUUAAAUAAAUUAGGGCAGAAAGCUUAAAAAGAAAGAAAGAUGGAGGGAGUUCCCUUUAGAAACAAAAUGGGCAUGCACAGCAGUCUUAGGUGCUUGGUAUCCACCUACAACUUCCCACAUCAGUUAAAAUUCAGGGAAGGCUGCCAUGAGGUAACUAUCCAUAGGGCUUUCAGUGAACAGGAGGCACAGGCAGCUUGGGAGGCUGCAAAAAUAUUUAACUGG
Non-coding RNA from Podarcis lilfordi (Lilford's wall lizard), 46343 nucleotides. Lineage: Eukaryota; Metazoa; Chordata; Lepidosauria; Squamata; Lacertidae. The record is from the annotation of a GenBank genome assembly.